CGCUUGGGGCAAUGACGCAGCUAGUGAGGUAAAAACCGAGGCGCGUCAAUUGCUGGUUGAAAACUAUUUCCAAACCCCCUCUUUGGCCUGGGCUCGCCCCGGUUGCCACUGAGAAUUUCUGGAAGGGCCCCCUCUAAUCCAGGGUAAGGCCCUACAAUUCUUAAUUAGCUAUAAAUGUUUUUUUGAGUUAGUGUUUCUAAUUCCGUUUAAUGUCGAAAAUAAUACUUGAAUUGUUAGAUCAUUCCUGUAAUUUAUCAAAAACCGGGUUGGGGCCUGAUUUUGGCGUCUGAAAUGAUGUAGCAGAAUUUGGACCAAUAAUUUUAGUUGAAUCACAAACGUCCACCCUGUACUAUGGCUACAUUUUGGGCCCAAUAAUUUUAGUUGAAUCACAAACUCCACCAUGUAAUAUGGCUACAUUUUGGGCCCAGUAGAACUUGGGCCAUUUACACUUCGGGCCUAUCACAAAUUUGCUUCAUCUUCAACACUUCCAAGAUUGUCAUAUAUGGCAGGAUCUUUUUAAAAAAGAUGCAGUAUAAUAUAUAUAUUAGUAAACAGCAAAAAUUUCUUUACAACCUUGAAAGAACCUCACAGUUCAAUAUCUAACUUACCUAAGACUUUCAACUAUAUUAUAACAAUUAUCUAAUUAAAAAAUAUAUACAUAAUCCUUCUCCGCAAGGUUGGGCACAUUAAUUCUCCAGCGAGAUGAUUUGCGAUAUAAAAUUACUCGAAUUUUGUGAAGUGGAAAGCAUCCUCCUCGAAAAGAGAGCUUCCGUUUUGAUUCGAUGGUCCUUGUCCAGAGUGUUUUGGGCUUAGGAAGGAUUGCUACUCUCAGCAGCAAAGCCAGAUGCUUCUGCUAGAGCUGAUAGGUCCUGUUCACCGCUAAAAACCUGCAAAAAAAAAAUUACCAAAGAAUAGAAAUUUUGAUGUUACUAUUUAGUACAACAUAGAGUACAACAUAGUUAUUUUGACCUCAUAAAGAUAAUAUAUGCUUGCCGGAUCUAUACCUGAACACUCCGCCAGUAUGAACGCAAACAAUAACAAUUUCGCACGAGAAGAAGUUGAGGCAAUGAAGCAUUCUAUAGUAUACGAAUACCAGAAUAUAAACAACAUCCAAGAAGAAGCGAGCACUGUCAAUCAAUUUCAAUCCAGUAAUAGAUUGGGCAGAACAAAACAUAUAUACAUCGCCUGAUUAUUUUGGAUUGAUUUCAUUUUAAUCUUUAAAUAACUUUAUCCUCGAUAUGCAAAACAUACCAUGAAAAAUUAGUCAUCUUACUCUUUCACCUCAAUUAUUUUCAUACCUCCACGAGAGUUCUCUAACCAAAGCUCCUCUAUUAUAUGAGCAAAUUAUAAAUAAUAAGAACUGUAUUUUGUUUUAUAUCUAUUAAUUUGCAGAGAUAUGAGACCUAUAGCUGAUAUCUACAGGUGAAAGCACAUCAUAAUCAGUUAGGACAAUAUUAUUAGACAUCAAGGAGAAUUAAUCGGAACACUGACGAACAAAAAUAAUUCUUCCUGCAAAUAUUGGAAACUAACCUUAUCUUUGAUGAUCCAUGUUGGGAAGCCUUCAAUCCCAACAGCUGCACAUUCCAAGGCCAUUUUUCUUCCUUUACCAACUCCAUCAGGGAAACACUCAACAUAAUCCAACAUCUUCACAGCUUCACGCCCAAACAUCUGUAUCAACAGAUAAAGAUGAUAAAUAUUGGUUCAUGCUAGUGCUGCAUAUUAUCAGUACUUUUGCAGGGUUAAUUUGAUACUAAUCUAUUCAAUCAAAGUUUUAAAGAUAAAAUAAAGACCAAAGAAACAAAGUGAUAGAUAUUAAGGCAUUUUAUUUUGUUCUGUAUAUACUGCAACAACAACAGAUAUAAGGAAUUCACCUCCUUCUGUUCAUUACAGUGAGAACACCAGAAUGCUCCAUACAUCUUAGCGCCUAUGGUCUUCAGGUGCUUUGCAAGGGAGAUAGCGAAAGGAGUUGAUUCUUUGGUUAUAACAGUCUCGUAUGGCUCCAAGGUAAUUUCCCCUGAGCUGUAUGAAUCAGAUUGGGCAAAAUGUUAAGCAUGUUUUUCUUGUAAGACAAACAUAAACAAACAUGUGAGUAUAGAAAUCUACUGCAUAUGAGUUAAUUAGGCAAGCAAACCAGCUAUGAACGACGAAUGCCUUUACAUAGACUCUAAAACUAUGAAUUUUAAGGUAUACAAAAUAGUACGAUGAAGUUGAUAUUGACAAGGCUAUGUGGAAUUUCCAGGACGAUUAGAAACCUCCAGGUUUUCUUUUAGGGCCUGCUAACCCUGGAGGUUUUGCAGAAGUGUUACUUGAGAAGAGCUAUUGGAAAAAGCAAUAUUAUUAUUAUUAUUAUUAUUAUUAUUAUUAUUAUCUCUCAAUGACUAAUGACUACCCAAUGUCGCUAAAAAUAGAAGCUUCAAAUUGGAGAGUCCGCUUUUAGGGUCUAGAAGCUCAUUUUGGCAAAUCACAACAGCCAAAAAAUUCCAAACUUAUUGUUUGAUGAACACCUAGCUUCUUGUUUGAUCCUAGCGAAGUGUUAAAAAAAAAAAAUAGAAUGGAGGUUGAAUAACUUCCAACUAAAUCAAUCAAUUGAAGUUUGUGUCAACUGAAGCAAAUUACGCAGUGAAAGUUGCUUUAUAUAUGAGAUAAAGAUCUUAUGCCGGCUAAGAAAAGUUUUUUAACAGCAUAAAGCCUGAAACAUAAUUUAAUUGGUCAUGAUGGAAGUUUCUUAACAGCAUAAGAAUUAAUUUGUGUGAAACACAUGAAGAAAAUUUUCAUUUAGGAAUAACAUUUAAAGGGUACUACAGCAUCAAACUAAACAGUUCAAAAAACUGAAAGAGCAGCAAACUUUAUGUGACUUUAGUAUUAAGAACACGAAAGUCUUACCCUGACAACUGAGGAGUAGCUGAUGAAUAUGAGCUUGUUAGAGCAACAAGAAUAACACCGGCAAUUGCUAACUGUAGACCAACCAUUUUUCUUAUUUCUUCCAAACCAAUAUCCUACAACAUAUAAAAGUUGGAUUCAGAUACCUUCUGGUGGUUCUGAAGAGGGAUCCUUUGCUUUAAGAGACUACAUACCUUGACGGUGAGAAGAAAUAAACUAAAAGAGAGAAAAGCCGAUAUGAGACAGUAUGAACAAGAUGUUCCAGCAAACUCCGUGGUCAGAAGGUAAACGAAAUAAGCACUUGCAGUUGCCAUCGAAGUUGUCGUCCCAAGCAAAAUCAAGCGAUUAUUAGUUUCAUCAAUUCCAGGAAGCAAAUUCUUCCGACUCUGUUGUAGAGAAAGUAAUGCAACUAAACCGUACGCAACCAUCCCAAUCAAUGGAAGCGGAACACCUGUAUAGUGGAAAAUGAUAUAUCACGAACCUCGAAAGCAAAUUAAGCAUUAGAUUAGAUCGAAAGAGUGAACAGAAACAAUUCUGUAUCAUCACAGUUGAUCAGCUGCUUCUUUCUAACCAACUUGAUUUGUAGUUUACUCAUAAAAAAAUGAGCAUUUGACUAACAAGGAAUGAAGCCUUAAAAUAAAUGUAACGGUUCCGCGCCUAGUUUUUUUCUUUCAGCUCCAUGCUUCGAGAGUAUAUCACUCGGUGAGUUCAUAAUUUAUACUAAUAACAAAGCAAGCGCAGCGGCAUAACAAACCUCAAAGACAUAAUAUUAUCUAUAACCUAGAGUAAAUUCGGAUUCUUCUGCUCACUAAUUUCAAGGUAUUUUCUCGGUUUAAUCAGCUCAAUGAGCAUCGAACUCGAUUAACCUCAGUGAUACUUUUCACAGUUCCAAAAUCAUGUAGCAUCAGAACUAAGCUUCGCCCACAUCCACCACAAUCAAUAUAAAAUUAGGGCAAUAGGUGGCGGUACCGAAGACGGCGGAGUAGACGCUGUUGAGGACAUCGCCGCAACUGCCGCCGCCGCCGCCGUCGCCGACGGGGCAAAACGCCUCAGAAUUGGAGAGCUUCAGGUAAGUAAGAUAACCGGUCUCGAGGAAGCCCAAGGAUGCGAGACCCGCCGACCAAGUGGAUGUGGAAAUGCCCCUGAGAGGAGAGCCCUUCUUGUGCUCCUCCACAUCCACCUCGGGAGAAGGCCCCGCGCGGCACUUGAAGUGCACUCGCGCCCCCUCCUGUACAGCAACCACCACCGCAGCACGUAAAUUAGAUAACAACAGUAAUAAUAGUGAGAAAAAUUAGGAAAAAUGCAAUCGAACGCGAUUGAAUCGGAGCGCGAAACCAUAAAGCGCGGUGGGGGGAAGCGGGGGAUGGAGAGGGUGGAGGAGAUGCUCGCCAUCGCCAUUAGCAGCUGCUGCUUCGCUCCUUUGCUCUUCUUCCCCUUCGCCUCUCUCUCUCUCUCUCUCUCUCUCUCUCUUCCGGGGUCUCUGUUUUAACGGUCCAUGGAUUCCCAUCUGAGCCGCGACUCGGACGACACGAAUCGGGGUGGGUUCGGGUUUGGUUCGGAUCCGGCGCCGCCACACCUAGCCCAACUGCCCAAGGGAGCGAAUCGUUCUCGAGUCUAAAUAAGGCCCAUUAGGCCUAUUUAUUUUUAAAUACGUUGGGCCUGAUGGCCCCUUUUUGUUCAUAGGCUCUCUUGGUAACAGGUUGGCCCAAUUAACUUUGUGUCUACAAUCUGGACUCUGGAGGAAGGUAGUCCCUAACUCUUCUUUUCUUUUCUUUUUUUUUCUUUUAAAAACCUUUAAUUUCUUUAUUGACAUCUGCUCACCUUCUAAUUAUUCCGAUUUGAAUAAAUCAAGUCAUCUAAAUUAGAGAUUUGCUAGCAAUUUUGCUAAUAGUUAAUGGCACCUGCAAAUCCAUUUUGCUAGCACAAAAGCCAUUUUAAUUUAAUAGAAUCAUUGAUAAAGUUAACAAGAUCCACAAUAAUAUAACGAAUAAAAAAAUCUUAAAACCGACUGUCCCUAGAUCAAGUGGCAAAGGGUUUUGUGGUUGGUACCCGAAACCCAAGUUCGAAUUCUAGUUGAUUCACAUUUCUAGCUAAGUUUAUUUCUAAAUGAAAUAAACGAAGCGGGUAGCGUGCUAUCUAUUUCUCAAAAAAAAUAAAAAAAUCUUAAAUCAAAGAGAUUAGAGGCUGGAAACAUGUCAAAAUAAAGUUAAAGGGUUCAAUUUUACCUAAAUAUUUGCUUUUUAUUAGAAAUUUGGAAUUUACAAGAAAGAUGCUACAUAAACCCACAAUUUCAUUCGCCCGCUGGUAAACUGCAGUUUACUCAAAUUUCAUUCGCCAGCUGGUAAACUGCAGUUUUGAGUAAACUGCUACAUGCUACUGCAAUUGUUAAUUAGUAGACCCAAAUCAUGUAAUCACAUAUAAUAAAACUAUCAAAUGGACAUGUGAAAUAGCAUACUAAUACUAACUUCCUCGGUUCUACUCUAUUAAAACCCAAAUUAAUGUACGAGUUUAAGGUACUAGCUAGCGAGCCUAAUGAUAUAUUUAAUAAAUAUCUUUUUUUUCAUUUAUUCUUUUAUCGUGUGCUUAACUUUAAACUUUGAAACAUAAAAAAUAUGCAUACUACUCAGUUAUCAUCUCAGAGAAAACUAUAGUUUUGAGCAAGCCCUCCUCUUUCUCUGUUUUCUUUUUUUUCGUUUUUUUUUUUUUUGGUUGGUAAUUUGAGAAAACCCUUUUUUUAGUGCAGAUUAUUUUAUCGCACUCUAAAUUAUCUAAGAAAAACUCUAAUUCACAGCACGUCAGGUGAUCCAACCCAAUAAUCGCAUCGCUACGCAAGUUGAUUGCACGUAUAGCUAAGGGAGAAAGCAUUGUCUGAACCUGGAAUACCACGUCAGCAGUAGACCGCUAAACCAAUGCAACUAUUCAUUUCAUUCGCUUCUUCAAUUCUAAUUGUUUUAAAAGAGAAUAACCCGUAAUUUCAAAUAAGAAAAAGUUAUUUGAUGGUGGUUUCUUUAGAUUGCUUGGGUAGUUUACGGCUCACAAAUUGAACCAGGUUCAGGGAAUAAAUUUUCAGGCGAGUUGUUAGGCAAUAUUUUGGUAGAAAUUGUAUUGAUUAAGAUAAUUAUUCAAGCAUAGCCAUCAUCUUUAUGCAUAAAUAAUUUUAAAAUAUCUUAAAAUAAAAAAAUAAAAUUAAAAGUCUCAUAACAUGCUAGCAUGAUCUUAGAUCUGGGACUGGAAGAGUCUAACCACCUGCGCGCACCUCGUGAAUCUAAUCAUAUUUUGACCCAUUGUAGUUCGAAUUUGUGACUAUAGUAGUUGAAAUGGGUGCACCACAUCACGCAAUGCACCGCCUACUGGAUUUGCCAUAUCACAGGCCGGCUAAAGUAAAUAUUAAAUAAUAAAUAUAUUAAAGACGGUGGGCUGAAUCAGUUAUCCCCGCUUUAAUUCGUUCCUGUCAUAUUCUCGUUUUCCCAAUUUAAAAAUAUAUCCUCUACAAAAGAUUCCUCAUAAAAAGAAAGGAAUCGCUAACAAAUGGAUGAAAAGUGUAGUAUUCUCCAUUACGUGCAUGCAUGCCAUCAUUCUUAUAAUAAUAAUUAAUAUAUCAAAAAGGCAUUUAAAAUUGUAUAUAUCUCACAUUGACUUUUUGUUAGAAAAAUCACUACCCAAGAUGCGCAUAAGCUCUUCGAUCUCAAAGCUAUAAAUACGAACCCCGACAUGCACCACUUGCUAUAUCCACCCAGCAAUAUUCAUCUCUUCUAGCUUAUUUUCACUCAGAAACCUUUCCUUUGUAGCAUUCGUUCCCAUAGAAGCUACGUAACCAUGAAAUAUUUCCUGGUUCUUUUGGUUGCGCUAACAAGCUGCUUCUUCUAUGGACGUGUUAAUGCCGGAACAGCUGCGUGCGCGAACACCUACUCGAAUUGCUAUGGAAUUUCAUUCAAUUGCCCGCAGGGUUGUCCUAAUCAAUGCGAGGUGGACUGCAACACAUGCAAGCCUUAUUGUCGUAAGUCUCUCUUUUCCCUCCCCCUAAUUAAUCUACUUUGUUUUCUAAAUAAGAAAAUAAAUUCAUUAUGUAUAUGUGAAUGCAUACUAUUCUAUGUUUAUGGAGUACUCCAUCCAUGCUUGGGCACACAAUUUAAUGCAGGUUCAUCACAAACUUCUCUUCUUCAGUAUCAUAAUUUAUUAGGUUAAUUAAGAACCUAUAUAUAUAUAUAUAUAGAAAGAGAGAGAGUUGAGCUAAAAUACUCUCAAAAGCAUCAUGAAUGUGGUACUUUUGAGUUUUUAACUAUUGAAUGGAUAGAUGUGAGGUUGAGAUGAUGGUGGUAGGUGGAAUAGUAUUUGAUCCAAAAGCUAUAAAUAAUCAAGGAGUAGAUUCAAGGACUAUAAACUUAGAAGCACCAAGGGUUUAGUGCUUCUAAAAGUAUUCUAACUCAAUUUUAUAUAUAUAUAUAUAGUUCUUAGAUUAACAGUGGUGCAUUAUUGUCCAAUGUGUGUCUGAACACUAAAAUUUUAACUUACUAUCUAAUAAUGCAGUUAUUUUGAUUAAGCACUUAUAAGCCUGUACUAAUCGGUAUUUUUAAGUUUUUUAUGAAAUAUUUAAUGGUAAUUGUUAAAUUCCUACUCAAUUGGUGGACUAUAAUUAGCUAGAAAGAGAAAUGAUAGUAGCUGGAACUCGAAAGAGUAGAUAGAUUAGAUAGCAGAAUUAAAUUCAUAAUGAUAAUUAUUAAGAUACUUAUUGUAAAUUGCACUAUGUAUAUAUAUGUCUGGUAGGAUCCGAGCUUCUUCUUUUUUGUUUUUUGUUUUUCCUUCUUAUUUAUCGAGUUACAUGCAUGUAAAAUCUUGGUUGUGCACAUACGUUCAUCGAUCAGCUUGCGAUAAGCCGGGAGCGGUGUGCCACGACCCGCGCUUCAUCGGUGGAGACGGCAUCAAGUUCUACUUCCACGGAAAGAAAAACAAGGACUUCUGCCUCGUCACCGAUUCCGACAUCCACGUCAACGCGCAUUUCAUUGGAAAGCAAGGCAAGGGGAGGGACUUCACCUGGGUCCAGUCCAUCGGCAUCUUGUUCGGCUCGCAGCAGUUCUACGUCGGUGCGAGAAAGGUCGCGACCUGGCACGGAUCCGACGACAACAUGCACGUGCAAUUCAAUGGAGCAGACAUCAACAUCCCGUCGGGCGACGGCGAGAUGUGGACGUCGCCGGAGGGCGACUUGCAGAUCAAACGUGUUGGGGAGACGAACUCGAUUGUGGCCGAAGUGGUGGGCGUGGUGAAGAUCGGAGUGAGAGUGGUGCCCAUCACCGAAGAAGAAUCGAGAAUUCAUGGGUACGGCAUUACGGAGGACGACUGCUUUGCUCAUCUGGAGCUCAGCUUCAAGUUCAGUUCACUGAGCAACUCGGUGAGCGGGGUUUUGGGGCAGACCUACGUGCCGGGUUAUCGCAGUCCAGUUAAGAUCGGCGUCCCGAUGCCGGUCAUGGGUGGCGCGGAGAAGUACUCGACCUCGCAUCUGUUUGCGACGGACUGCGCCGUCUCAAAGUUCGGGCUCAAGAGGGAGGGUGCUGAGAUUGAGGAUCCGCCGACGGUUGCUUGCGGAGCUCAAGAUGGAAUUCAGGGGAUUGUUUGCAAGAGGUGAAAGAGACAGAGAGAUACAGAGAGGAAGAUGACCGGGAAGAGUGAUUUUGCUUUGCAUUAAUAUUUCAUGUGCGUGUGUGUGUGGUAUUUAGUGAUAAAUAAUCUCUGGUUCCUUUGUUGCUGCUCUCCAGCUUUGUUGCUUGGGGGUUUUCGUUUAUUCUGUAUCUGCUAUCAUUUUGUUUUCCUCAUGUAUUCCUCUAUAAUAUUUCUCUUAAUAUAAUUAAUGAAUAGAUCUAUUGCCUAUUCUUUUCAAAAUAAAAGAACUUCUGUCGCAGUAACUUUUUUUGUGAAAGAUGUUCCGGUCAUAUUAUAGUUCUGCAAUUUGGGCAUAGGAAAAUUCCUUGAUUAUUCUGUGAUGUUGUUGUCUUUUUUCAUGUUGCAUUAAGUUAUUGGAUAAAAAAUAGGUUAAAUUAUAUAAAAAAAACUUCUAUUAAAAUCUGAUUUUUCACUUUGGAUCCCGCCGUCCGUGUUCUGUUAGGAUUCCGUCUAUUUCUCAUUAUUAUAUUUUUUUUUAUGCCGAAAAUAUCCUUCUAUAAAUAAAGAAGGGUUGGGGGAGGAGAGGAAAAAUGAGAGGGCAUUUUGGUUAUUUUAUCAAUACUAUUAACAUCGUACCUCCUGUGAAUAUUUUUCAUUUUUAGAGGGGCAAAGUGUAGGUUUUUAAAUGACAGAAAGAGAAAGUGAAAAAUCGGCAACCGAUAAUCAGUUCAGCUUACGUAGUCAAAUAGAAAGAUGACACAUGGUAUAUUAAGAGCCGAAAAAAAGGAGUUCAAAAGUAAAUGAAUUACACAUGGUAUAUUAAGAGCCGAAAAAAAGGAGUUCAAAAGAUGACACGGUAUAUUAAGAGUGGUCCAUCGUCAUUAACCGUGUCAACUCGAGAAUAGAAGGCUGGAAAGCAAAGCUUCUCUCUCAAAGGGGUAGACUCACCCUUGUCAACUCUGUCCUCGCUAGUCUGCCUCUACUCUACCUUUCUAUUUUUAAAGCACCUCAGUGGGUACUGCAACGAAUUGAAGCUCUGCGGAGGGCCUUCUUCUGGAAAGGCGGCACCAAAAUCACUGGGGGUGGUUGCCUUGUUAACUGGAAAUCUAUCUGUAAGAGCAAGAAAGAAGGAGGGUUAGGAGUCAAGGAAUUGGGCGCGAUGAAUACGGCACUACUAUCCAAAUGGUGGUGGCGCUUCUUCACCGAGAGAAGCCUGCUCUGGAAUAAGUUAAUCAGAACUCUUUAUUACAUCAAACGUAGGCCUUUACACGAGGGUUGAACUUUUGCACCCUAUUCGCAAUGGUGGAGAGGUGUGCUGCACUGUCGCGAUAUUUUCAAAUGCAGUGUAAGCUACGAGUUCGGUGAUGGCAACAACAUCAGGAUAUGGUUAGACAUUUGGAUAGGGGAAAUCCCCUUACGCACCUUAUUCCCAAAUAUCUUUGACCACGCAAGAAAUAAAGAUGCCAGAGUAGCUCAAUGUUGGAAUAUGAACGGUUGGAGGUGGCGUUUUUUUUGUCGUGGCGAUCGGGGGCUCUCUUUAGCAGAACGUCGCAGACAGCUGACGCUUUUGAAGAAUCUGCUCGUGCUCUUUAGUCCAAGUUCCAUACCGGACACGAUCAAAUAGCGUUGGACGGCAAACCAACAAUUCUCCGUCAAAUCCCUUUACCAAUUCCUCACUGACAGCGGAUUAAGAGAUUUAAUGAAUUUAUUUAUCUGGAAAAUCAAAAUUCCAGUCAAGAUUAAAGUGUUCUUAUGGCUACUCCUGUAAAAGAGAAUCUUGAUUGUAGAUCGUUUACAUAAACGCGGAUGGCUAGCGGAACAAUUUUGCAUUCUCUGUGCCGCUAGUACGGAAAGCUCAUCACCUAAUAAGCUCCUGCGUGUUUGUUCGCUUCCUCCUCAUUCAAGUUGAAGUACCGGAUUUUUUGAUAGAGCCAGCGACGGAGGCGAGAGAACUUUGGACAAGAUCAGUCAGCCUAGUAGAUGCCCAGAAGAGACUUGAAUCUCUAACUCUAAUGUCUGCUAUUUGGUGGUUGUUUGGACUCAGAGGAAUGACAGUCUUUUUGGCGCAAAGCCCCCCAACACUACCCGAGCACUAGAACGUGUUAGACACCUGCUGACAUCCUGGACCACGUGACUCUGAGCGUUUGGUGUCCUCCUUUUUUUUCGGGUUGACUUUCUUGUUUUUUCCUCUUCUGUUUUUUCAUUUUUUGCUGACUUAGCUUCCUUUUUCUCUCUUUUUUUUCCUCCAGAGACCUCGGCUGCCUCCAUUAUGUAAGCCUAAUUCAUUUUCCUAAUAAAUGAAACAGGUAGCUUGCUAUCUAUUUCUAAAAAAAAAAAAAAUAAAUGGAUUUUGAACAGCACUUUCCGUAAAGUGACAACUGUCCAACAACUGCAGGUUAACUGAAAUUUGAUAGUAAGUUUAUAAAUAGCGACGUCGCAAAGAUAUUUUCCUAUACCGAAGACCAUUAUUAUUAUUAUUAUUUUUUCAUUCUCAACAUUUAUAAUUUUUUCUAGGAGUAGCCAGUGUUAGAAUGUAGUCUUUAGUUUUAGCCAAAAAAUCAAGGUCAUAGAAAUUUUGUAGCAUUUUCGAAAGGAUUAUACGAGAGUUUUGCUUCAAUAUGCGGAAACUAGGUGAAAUUUAAGCAGUCAAAAAACUACAAUCCUGAAACUGAGCUGCUACGGAGAUUUUGCAUGGAAACGCUGCCUCUCUACACGAAGAUUCAAUUUUGCUUCAGUUUUACCCCAAGAGCACAUAUCCUUCAUCAGAAUUGAGAGCUUAAUUUCUUCACUAUCCUCAAAUCUCUUGGCCGUGUUUCGAUCCAAAAUAUCUAUAACAGCUAAUUUUCAAGAUUGGAUUGCCUUUUCUCUUCAAUAUCUCACCAAAUUUCCAUACAAAAAAGAAAUCACAAUGCCUGGAAAAGAAAAAGAAAAAAAAAGCUGAGAGUUUCUAUGAACAACAAAUGUAGGAUGACAAAGAAACAAUCCAUCAAAUGAUGCCACUAUUGUUGUUCUGACAAGGGAAAACCUGUUGAACAUUAAUUUGGGCUUGUACAUGUGGGUUCUUGGGAAAUUAUUUUUCCGACUAUCUAACACAAAUUAUAUCCUCUCUGUGGUCCACAGAUAAAUGUGAGAUCUUUCAAAUAAUGUUCCCUUAUGUAUUUAGACUUAGUUUGGUAUUGAGGUGGAUCCAACGCUGUUAGAUAAAAUGGAGUUAAGAAAAAACAUAUAGAAAUAUGCUUCUGCGUUCUCCGAUGAGACCGUAGAAAAUAUAUCGUAACCGACUAAUCACAAUAUGCAGAAUGCAAUAUUACAUACGGAAAUAAAUAGGGUAUUUUUCUAUCGUUAUUUCUCACCCCACAUAAUAUAAUCUUCUCGCAAUCCCAAAUGAAGCAUUAAUUGAAAUAUAUUAAUUCUGCACCUGUGUUUUGUACCCAUUUUAUUCUAUCAAUCAAUUGUUCUUUUUUUUUUAAUGCAUUAAACAAGUAUAUAUUCUUUGUCAAAGAUUUUGACUUGUUUUUUUCUUUUUUCGUGUUACGACAAACGCACAAACGGAAACGAAAUGACAAACACAAAAAUAAUCAAACCACAAGUAGAAAAUAAAGAAACACAGAUUUACGUGAAAAACCCUUUGCAGGGAAAAAACUACGGGCGAGAGAGGAGAGAACUUCACUAUGAAACGAAAAAGGAAAUACAAUGUUUUUCAAAUUACAACCGACCAUGAUCACACCUCUACGGGCUCGGACCUGUCGGCCCGAGCCCUCCGCUACCCACCACAGACAUUCAUUUUUCCUCCAUAAUUUUCUUUUCCAAAUUGGUCGCACCGCGAAGCUGUCGGCGAGUCGUAAACCCGAACCUGAAUCGAUAGUAGAUUUCGAGUCAUAUCUAACAUUUCGAGAGAGAGAUAGAUAGCAUGCUAUCUGUUUUAUUUAUUUUAUUUAGAAAUAAACUUAGUUAGAAAUGUGACUCAAUUAGGAUUCGACCUUGAGAUCUCGGGUGCCAACAACCAAGCCCUUUGCCACUUGCGCUAGGGACGGUCGGUUUCUACUAGUUAAACUCGUUUAAGUUUUCACAUGACCAGAUAGACAAUCUUGUGUAUUGAUUCCUAAGUAUCCAAAUAUAUCAUAUAAGUAGAUUCUUGACAACCUUAUUAAUUUGUGCUAAAAUAUAUUGAUGAUCAUUCUUAUGUCCGGGGUAAUAUUCUUGCAAAGGUGAUAAAUAUAUUUGUCUACUGGUUUUCUUCACCACACACGCAUAUGUAUGUAGACACAUUUAUGUGUGUAUAUGCAUGUAUUGGAUUGUUCGCAAAUUACUUUGUCGCAUAUGUAUAUAUGAUAAAUGCAAUAACAUUAUACAGAACAAGUAAAGGGAGUUCCCAUGUCCAAAUUGUUGAAUUGCAAUGCGACUGGAUCAUCUUUCAUUUAAAAAAAAAAAAGAAAAAAAAAGUGAAAGAAAGACUGGAAUUGAAUUUCUUUAUUUCAGUAAUUAUAUUAAAAGAAGCAAGGAAUACAUAACAUAAAGAUAAACCCCGCAGCAACAAAGCUGGAGAGCAGCAACAAAGGAAACAGAGAUUGUUUACAACUAUAAAAAUACCACUCACACACACACACACACACACACACACACACACGCACACGAAAUAUUAAUGCAAAGCAAAAUCACUCUUCCUGGUCAUCUUCCUCUCUGUAUCUCUCUGUCUCUUUCACCUCUUGCAGACAAUCCCCUGAAUUCCAUCUUGAGCUCCACAAGCAACCGUCGGCGGAUCCUCAAUCUCAGCACCCUCCCUCUUGAGCCCGAACUUCGAGACGGCACAGUCCGUCGCAAACAGAUGCGAGGUCGAGUACUUCUCCGCACCACCCAUGACCGGCAUCGGGACGCCGAUCUUAACUGGACUGCGAUAACCCGGCACGUAGGUCUGGCCCAGAACCCCGCUCACCGAGUUGCUCAGUGAACUGAACUUGAAGCUGAGCUCCAGAUGAGCAAAGCAGUCGUCCUCCGUAAUGCCGUACCCAUGAAUUCUCGAUUCUUCUUCGGUGAUGGGCACCACUCUCACUCCGAUCUUCACCACGCCCACCACUUCAGCCACGAUCGAGUUCGUCUCCCCAACACGUUUGAUCUGCAAGUCGCCCUCCGGCGACGUCCACAUCUCGCCGUCGCCCGACGGGAUGUUGAUGUCUGCUCCAUUGAAUUGCACGUGCAUGUUGUCGUCGGAUCCGUGCCAGGUCGCGACCUUUCUUGCGCCAACGUAGAACUGCUGCGAGCCGAACAAGACGCCAAUGGACUGGACCCAGGUGAAGUCCCUCCCCUUGCCUUGCUUUCCAAUGAAAUGCGCGUUGACAUGGAUGUCGGAAUCGGUGACGAGGCAGAAGUCCUUGUUUUUCUUUCCGUGGAAGUAGAACUUGAUGCCGUCUCCACCGAUGAAGCGCGGGUCAUGGCACACCGCUCCCGGCUUAUCGCAAGCUGAUCAUGUACGUGCACAACCAAGAUUUUACAUGCAUGUAACUCGAUAAAUAAAUAAGAAGGAAAAAAAAAAACAAAAAAAAAAAAAGCCCGGAUCCUACCGAAAAUAUAGAUAGUGCAAUUUACAGUAAGUAUCUCUUUCUAAUUAGAUAUUCUACCAACUCGGAUAUUACAAUAAAAAACUUAAAAAUACAGAUUAGUGCCGGCUUAUAAGUGCUUAAUAAUAAUAACUGCAUUAUUAGGUAGUAAGUUAAAAUUUUAGUGUUCAGCACUCAUUGGACAAUGCACCACUGUUCAGCUAAGAACUAUAUAUACAUAUAGGUUCUUAAUUAACCUAAUAAGUUGUGAUACUGAAGAAGAGAAGUUUGUGAUUAACCCGCAUUAAAUUGUGUGCUCAUGCAUGGAUGGAGUACUCCAUAAACAUAGAAUAGUAUGCAUUCACAUAUACAUAAUGAAUUUAUUUUCUUAUUUAGAAAACAAAGUAGAUUAAUUAGGGGGAGGGAAAAGAGAGACUUACGACAAUAAGGCUUGCAUGUGUUGCAGUCCACCUCGCAUUGGUUAGGACAACCCUGCGGGCAAUUGAAUAAUUUUCCAUAGCAAUACGAGUAGGUGUUCAUGCACUUUGCUGUUCCGGCAUUAACAUGUCCACAGAAGAAGCAGCUUAUUAGCGCAACCAAAAGAACCUGCAGGAAAUAUUUCAUGGUUACGUAGCUUCUCUGGGAACAAAAGCUAUAAAAGGAAAGGUGUCUGAGCGAAAAUAAAGCUAGAAGAGAUGAAUAUUGCUGGGUGGAUAUAGCUAGUGGUGCAUGUAGGGGUUCGUAUUUAUAGCUUUGAGAUCGAAGAGCUUAUGUGCAUCUUGGGUAGUGAUUUUUUAUUGUACUAUCGGUAUGAGACAUGUAAUUUUAAAUGUCUCUCGCUCUCUUUAUAAUUUUAUUAUCAUGAUGAUUGCGCUAGAAAGUGCUUGCCCAUUGUUCUUUUAUUGGGGCUUGUUUUCUUUCUUUUUUGCGGGGGAAGAAUCAUUGGAAGGAUACAGUAAUUAAUUAAUUAAGCAGAGAAGGUGGUAGGAUCAAAGGAAAAAGUCCACCACUGAUUUCGAACCUUUAUUCCAUAUAAUCUUAUCAAUCCAAUCAUAAAAUAAAAUAAAAAUUUAAUCAGACCCAAGCAUUUUCUUUUCUCAGGGGUCUUUGGUCACCCUAGAUUUUUCUUUUUUAUUUAGUAUAGACUUUGUGUAGGUUUACUCACCCUUUCUCUUUGCGUUCUUUUCUUUCUUUUCAAGAGGCCUAGCUGCCUAGCUCAAUCUGUUGUAAGUAAAUUCAUUUAUCUGAUGAAUAAAGAGAUAGCAUGUUAUAUUUUCUCAAGAAAAAAAAACUAAUCAGGAAAUUUCUACAAUUUAAUUAUUGGGUGACUAGGAUCGAAUAAUUAACGAGAUGGAAUCCAGCGCAAGUGAAUCGCAUAGGAACAAAAUUAGUACUGGUGCAUGUGAAUGGUGAAAAAAAAUUAGAUUGUAAUACAAAUAAAAUAAGUAAUCAGUGACUUAGAUUAAAUUUCAAACUUCGAUUUCUCAAAACAGGUUCUUUACUUGAGCUGAACUUUAGUUAUGAUAGAUCCACUAUAUAUACGUGGAUUAAAUGAUUUGGUGCAUGCAACCGUUCUGUUAGUAAACUCUCCACAUUUGAACAAAUUAUUGGUCUGAAUAUAGUAGGUUCAGGAGAUGCAGGUGAUUAAAACUAGGACUCUUAGAUUGAUCAUAUCGUGCAUUUAGGUUUUAGUUGUUGAAAAUUAAAAGUAUCCUCUUUUCAAGCAUUUGAAUUAAAAAAAAAGUAAAUAAUAUUAAGGAUAGAUUGCUAAUUGGUCCACUGCCAUGUGACGGACUAAUUUUAAAAAUCGUUUCCCAUUCAACUCGACGUGCGAUCAACUUAGAGACGCUCCUGCAUAACUUGACGUGCACUAAGAAGAGAAAAAAAAUUUUCCAAAAAAGAAAAAAAGAGUUGUCGGUGCACGAAAAAAAAAACAAAGAAAGAAGAAGAAGUGGAUAGCUGAGUUGUGGAGACACGUAGAGUUAAAAAAUUUUGCCAGAUUAUUCGAAUGUCUUGGUUUGAAAGUUUUAAGUACUUUAGCCUGAUAUUAAGGAAUAACAAAGAAUAGGAACUCAACGUAUAUAGAUCAUUGAUUAGAACCAUUUAGUUGCUUAAACUCGUGGGCUAUAAUGCAACGGAUGAAUUUAUUAUUAGUAUGCCCCUUUCGUAGUAUAUAUAACAUGUGCAAUGUGAUAAUUACAUGAUUUGGGGUACUAAUUAACUAACAAUUGCAGUAGUCCUAUAGUAGUUUACUUAAAAGAGAACUACGGCUGCAUAAAUAAAUGAUAAAUAUGGCAAUUGAAUCUAUGACCUUGCAGAAUAUUCGGAACUUAAGAUUAACUUAAAUACCAUAACACUCAAAAACUUAAGAUCAGCUCUGAUAUGUAAGAAGAUCAAUCCCAGUUACUCUAAUCAUUAAUAUGCAUGGUAGAAGUCGGGCAAACCAUGCUAUUUUUAUUAAAACAAGAUGUAAUGUGCCAUCGACUACUGACGAAUGUAUAGGAAUUUAAUCGAGAGUUUUUAGGAAUGGAAAAGGUUUAGUACCGACUCUAAUAUUAUGUUAAAAGAUUAAUAGACUUGAACAAUAAAAUAUUUAUGAUAUUUUAUAUUUAAAUAUUUUUCUCACGUUGGCUCGAGAUUUUUUAUUGGCUUAGAUAAACUUCACUUAAUAUGGAAAUAAUUAAAUUAAAUUGAAAGUGUGACGAGAUUCAAACAUAACAUUCUAAUUUGAUGAAGUUGGCAAUUCCUUCUCUUCUUUCCCUUCUCGAGAGUAAAAAGAGUUGUUGAUGCCAUUGCGGAAUAUUCUCGAACAUUUUUUUUUUUUUUUUGAGAGAGAUAAAUAACACGCUAUCCACCUCGUUUAUUUUAUUUAGAAAUAAACUAAGCUGGAAAUAUGAAUCAACUAGGAUUCGAACUUGGGUCUGGAAUACCAACUAAAAUAUCCUCAAACAGUUGAUCUACCUACAUGUGCGGUGGGAUUUCGGAUUAUAUGCAUAUAUAGGCUAAUAGUCCCACAUCGGCUGCUUAAGUUUGUGGUGCCCUAUAAACUAUCUUUAAAAGGAGAGGCCCGGUGACCGAAAAAAGCAUCUUUGCGCUUGGGGCAAUGACGCAGCUGGGGAGGUGAAAACCGAAGCGCGUCAAUUGCUGGUUGAAAACUAUUUCCAAACCCCCUCUUUGGCCCUGGGCUCGCCCCGGUUGCCACUGAGAAUUUCUGGAAGGGCCCCCUCUAACCAGGGUAAAGGCCCUCCAAGUUUGAACUUCAAAAUUUCUUUGAUAAAAAUUUACUUUUUUGGAGGUCACUUGUAAGUAAUCCAAUCAUUGGGCGUAACGUAAACCAAUAUUAGGUUUGAAAAAUCAAAUUUUGUGAGUGGGGUGGCCCACUUCUUAGGCCCACGGUCACCAUUUCUAAUAUGAAACCUCCCUGCCCCCCUAUCACGUACAUAAUAUUUUUUUAAAGAGAGAGAUAAUAAGCUGUACAUAAUAAUUUUUUGAAGAGAUAUAUAGAUAGUAUGCUGUCCGUUUCGUUAAUUUUAUUUAAAAAUAAAUUAGUUAAAAAUAUAAAUCAAUUAGGAUUCAAAUUUGGAAACUCGGAUACCAAUCAUGUAGUUUUUUAUUUUUUGUCAUUUGCAUCAGAAACUAUUGGUAUCACACAGAGGAUAUGAACAGUGAUUGUUGACCGUUUAUCAUUUCUGCCAAUAUAAUUGCAUGGCAAGUGCAAAAAAUAACAGUUGGCCGCCUCGUACACGCAGGUAUACUUUUAAUUUGCAUGUUGCAGUCCCAGCCAGGAAAAAGGUUUUUAUUUGCACUACUUUUAACACUUCAUUUCAUUUAAGUUACAUCAACAUUUAUGAACCUGGUCUACGCUCAAUUUUAAUUCAAAAAAUAAUAGUGCCAAUUCUUCAAUAUCUAAAAAGUAAAAAACUGCAUCAAACUUCCCUCAGUAGUAACCAUCUUAUUGCUUCUUUUAAUUUAAAUUUAGUUCUAUUAAAUGAGUCUCGGAUAUAUAUUAUUAAAUGUAACUAUUAAUUCAGUUAAAUUUAAUUAAUGAUUCUACUUACUUUUUUUUGUUUGAUAAGACUGCAGCUUUGUUUAUAAGUUAACACAUAGCUAGAAGCUUAUGGAGCUAGCUACCAAUUUUCACGGAAUAUUUCUCAUUCACCUAACAAAACAAGUAAAAUUAAGAGGUCAUAGGCAAAAAAUUAAAAAUAAGUUGAACCAUCUAUUUUAAAAUAUAUAUUUGGCCUACUACCUUAUCUUAAAUUGGUAGUCCACAAAUCAUCCAGUUAGUGGUUUGCAUGUCCUCUGUGGCAGCAUCUUGUGGAUAUACACUGUGACCGGCAACGUGCAAUGUCAAAUGAUGCUACUAUCAACAAUGUGUACGUACUAGCUAGUUUAUUAAGCAACUGUGUGGUAUAAAACUAAAGCCUAAGUAUUUGAAUAAUUUAGCCUUAGUUAAACGGUUUGCUCAUGCUUGUAAUGAGAAUUGAGAAAAGCAUUUGUACGUACUAGCUAGGCUGCUUUUACUGAAUCAAACAUGCACAUGGAUUGAGAAGUCUAAAUUUUAGAUGAUGUGGUAAAGUAGCUUAUUAUUGGAAUCUAUUAUCUCAAAAAUGCACGCUAGCAGGAUGGCCUCUCCUGCUUCUUCAUUUUCUCGACAUUGUUGUGAUAGCACGCCCAAUAUAUAUGGCAGAACUUGCAUUGAGAACUCAAGCGAUAUAUGUCGCUGCCGCCCGUCUAAGCAAAGUAAUCUCUAAUACACAUUCGAUGGCUUAAUGUACAUUUAUCAUCUUUAAAGUACAAUUUAUUUGUAAUUGACCGGCCCCUUCUUUAAUAUAAAAAUAUAAUUAUUAAAUCAUAAUUUUUUUUUUUUUUAGAGAAAGGACCGGAGGUUGUUAUUCACUUUGUUCAUUUUUUAAAAAAGUUAGUUAAAAAUGCGAGACAGUUAGACUUUAAAUUUAGAAUCUUUGGUACACUAGCUAGAAACAGUCGGUAUUGAAUUACAAUUUAGGAAAGAAAAUGCCACAACACACUGGCAUGAUCAAGCUCUUAGACCUUUACAGGGGUUAAUCACUUGGUCUUACUGAAUGCCCCAUAUUAGAGUCUCUUGAACCAUAUUUGGUUCAGGCAGAAAACUUAAGCCCACAACGACGCGGUGCUUCUCUUAAACCUCCCUCUUUCAUCCUGCCACGUCUUCCCUUAAUUUCUCAAGUCUCCAACAUCCAACCAAAUGAAGAGGAAAACGGAAAAGGCAAAGAGCUUCCAGAAUCGCCUGCUCAUCUCCUUAACAUUAUUAUUCCACUACAUGCUUACCACAUCUCCCCACCUUCUCUACACCCUCUGACCAUGUACACCCACCACCACCACUAGGUCCACUACUACGCUAUUAUGCUAUAACCAUCCCAUUUAGUCCCCCCCCCCGGCCGACGCAAACCCAAAAGCAACGAGCGCACAACCCACCACCAAGAAACAUGGCCACGCCGCGCCGCGUUUCCUGCAUCCGCACGCUGCGCCCGAGCCACCGAUCCGCCGCCCAAGCGGACGAGGCCAAGCGGAGCCGCUCCCCCUGCGUCUGCUGCGUGGGGCCCCACCACCAACCCAAAUCGAAGCCCCGCACGCCGCGGAGCGCCCGCCGGGGCCCGCGCGCGGUGGCUCGGCCCGGGCGGUGGUUCCGCGCGGUGCGCCGCUCGUUCGCGCAGGCCCCGUGCAGGUCCAUCGCCGUCGCCGCGCGCGGGGGCGAGGAGGUGAAGGUCUACAACCCGAAGCUCGCGCAGCCGGCCGAGGGCGCCGCGCUCAAGGAAGGGAGCGGCUCGGACGAUGAGUUUAGUUUGCUGUGUAAGGAGGGAUUCUGCCGCGAGGACGUGGCGGCGGUCACCAUCCAGGCCUACUUCAGGGCCCAUCUCGUGCGCUUAUUCUACCCUACUUCAUUUUAAUUUAUUAUUUUUGCGUCAAAUUUGUAGAUAUAUAAUUAUAUAGUCCCUCUUCCCUCUACACUCCAACGCUACGUGUCAGAUUGAUUUGCUCUACUCAUCCAAGGAAUUAUUAUUAUCAUGCUAAUCUUAUUAAUUAUCGUUUUUUUAAUCCUAAACUUUUUUUAAAAAAAUUAAUACAUUUUUCGAUGGAAGAUGUGUAAAAUUUACACCUAUAUAUACAGAAUGUAUGGGAUAUAUUUUUCUACCUGAUUGACUUAGUUUUUAUAAUUUGCGCUUAAACAUUUAAUCUCUGUAAUCGAUCGUUUUUACUCUUUUAUUAUUAUAAUGGGUGUCAAAGUUAAAUCACAUAAAUAUUGACUUGUACCGUGCAUGUUGGCAUGUGGGUGAUCACAACAAUGUCCGUAGGCGAACCCAAAGCAUUUAUUUUUCUAACUAAAGUGACUUCUCUGGUUUCGAGCGCACUGUAUAUAUGAUGAUGGAAAAGAUCGUUUGCCACGAGAUGUCAAAUUAUUUUCAGCGGCUAAUGAUGAAUUGUUAUAUUUUGCAAUUAAGACUUCAGAAACUAAAGUAGCAAACUGAAUUCUGUAAUCCAAUUAAGUUGCAAUAUGGAUGCAGUUUAGGCACUAUGGGUGCAUCCAAACCUUUUUUCUGCUUUAGAUGUCAUUUAAUUUGUGACACUAAUAAAUAACUGCUGUUUAUGAGACCAAUGUGGAAUUGCGUGGCAUUAGGCGCGGCGGGCGUUCCGGGCGCUGAAGAGCCUGGUGAGGCUGCAGGCGGUGGCGCGGGGGGCGUACGUGCGGCGGCAGGCGGAGGUCGCGAUCCACUGCAUGCAGGCACUGGUGCGCCUGCAGGUUCGGGUCCGAGCCAGGCAGCUGCUCAGCAAGUCCAAGGAGGCCCAGCUCCUACAAAACUGAAGAUUUCUGUAGGAUACUCUCCUCAACCUUCUCAGUGAUCGACGCCCUCUGAAGUUUGUAAUCUGAUUGCAUUUUGUCUCAUUUAUGUAUGUUAACCUUUUCCUGUAAUGAAAUUGUGACUUGUUGGCGAAAAUUGUUCCUCCCUUGCCUCUCUUUAAUUUCUUCACCGAUCCUUGAUUUUAUUUUCAUUAUUUGAUUCCAUUGCACCAUAAAUUUCUAUAUAUCCGGCUGGGUAAAUUGCAUUACUGCUCCUCAUCUUUCUAUCCAUUUUCGUUCUGAACCAAGUACUCUUUUUAAGUGAAACACUGCCAACAUGUGCUGACUCGUCGAUCGAUCAGGGAAUUAUGUUAUUCAUAGCGAACUGCAGUCAGAAACCGGCACAAAGCCGUCGAGUACAUUAAGACUUAAAAUGCACGUACGUAUGCAAGGGGGGAAAAAAAUAUGAAAAGAGAUAGCGAGACAACAACUCCAGGAGAAUUUGUCGACACCCAAAUUCCGACGUUUGAAAGAGAAAAACGAAGUGAGGAAACAAGCAAAACCAUGAUGAUCAACCAACUAGCUAGAUCACCGGCGCUGGCUCCUGCUGCAUGGCCACCACCUUGCGCCAUGCGGGCCGGUUGGUGAUCUGCUUCCACCACCGGUUCACGUUCGCCAUCGACGCGAAAAGAGAGCGGCACGCAGGGAUGGAGCCGAGGCGGUGCGCAUUGGGGACGUGGGAGAGGUCGGCGAGCGUGAAUUUGUGGCCUGCGAGGUACUCGUCCUCCGCGAGCCUGCGCUCGUAGAUGUCAAGCACCUCCCCGAGCUUGCGCUCGCUCGCCACCACCGCCUUCUCGUCCUUCUCCUGCCCCAUGAGCGGCGCGAACGCCAGGUUGAAGACCAGCUCCGAGCUCGGCGGGCCGAAGCUGUGCGCCUCCGUCUGCAGCCACUGCUCUAUCGCCGCGCGCUCCAACGUGCACGUGCCGAACAGCUCCUUGUUCCCGCGCUCGUGGUUGCGCCCCGCAAUGUGGCGGCAAAUCUCUCUCGAGUCUGAGAUCGAACAGUUAACAGCAAUUCAAUAUCAUGAAGUUAAGUCCUAAACUUCUUUAACUCAAAUUUCACUUAGAUCCCCAAAUUUUAAAUUGAAUUAGGCUGGUGCAUUGAUGUACGAAUGGUUAUACUAAGGAGCAUUUGAUUGAAAUAAUUUUUUUCUUUUCAAGUAUUAUCCCUCGCCUUUUCUAAAGCUAAUUUAGGAGCAAAUAGUUUUGCGUAUAAUGACUACGAGAAAAUAUUGACAAAACUUGGAAUAAAAUGAUUGAAAAAAAUAGAUAAAUUGAUCACUUCAAGUUUUUGACAAAUGACUUUUACAACGGGUAUUUUACAAAAUAAAUUAAUAGAAAAGUAAUAUGAAAGGUCCGUGCAGCCACACUUUCGCAAUAUAUAUAUAUAGAGAGAGAGAGAGAGAGACAGUAGAGUUACUAUACUCCUAUGAGUAUAGAUAUCUUUAUACUUAUAAGUUUUCGACCGUUAGAUUAAAAAAAUAUGUAUAGAUAUUUUUAUACUUAUUAGCUUUCGGCCGUUGGUUAGAAUGAUAGUGAUUUUUUAAAGUUGAGUGGGUGGUUGGUUGAAUAAUAUGAUCUAACAGAUAGAAAUGAUAAACGAAGUAGAUCUAACGACAGAAUACUUAUACAUAUAAAAGAGUCUAUACUCAUAAGACUAUAGUAACCGAACUCUAUAUAUUUAAUUAUUACGUAAGUUAUUUCUAAAGUUUUUAUAGAUAUUGUUUGUAACAUUAGGCAAAAGUAUAAGAUCCCAGCGAGAAACGAUUCUUACCAACAAGCGUCAGUUUCCCAUCUUCGAAUGUUAGCGCUUGACCAUGCGGCUGCAACGAACAACAUCGGUAAGAAUCUCACACCAUUCCUACUGAUUAAAAAACAGAGCAUAUUAAGGACCUAUUUGGCUCAACGGCUACUUCCAACGUACGGCACCGUACCGCGACCGAAGUUUCAGUUUUAAACUUCAACUGUAAUACAUUAAAAAUGGACCAAGCCAGGCCAAAGGAUAUACUAGAUCAGUUUACGAAAAGAGCAUCACCUGCAGUUUGAGGUAGUCGGGCAUGCGCUUCUGGCCCUUGUACGUAUCUACUCGGAUCAGCUGGAACUCAACAUCCUUCUCGAAGAGGCACAUCAACACUCUCGCGACUUCCGUCGAGGUUGGUGACCCGAAUACCUUCACGCUCGCCAUCGAAAAUUUGGUUACGGAUACGGAGAUCAAAGUGCUCUACUCUCUUAACUAAUACACACUAGCAGUUGAUAGUUCCAGUUCCAAGUGCACAGAGGUUGGAUGGUUCAGGUGGUUUUUAAACUUAGCUUGUAGCACAAUGAAAUGCCUUGCUUGUCAAGAGGAAAAAUUAAAGGGCAAAGGGAAAGAAAAUAAAGGGAAAGUGAAAGGAGAAAAAGAGAGAGGAUAGCUUAUUAAUUUAAUUGGUAUUGAAGGUGUUUUACUGGAGAUAGAUCUGGCUUUUUCUUUCUUUAAGAUGGAGCUUCUCCAUCAAGUAUGUGAGCUUAGUAUGUAUUUUAAUAUCAGCUAAACAAAAUAUGUCAGAAAAGCUAAAGGGAUUCAGAGAUGGAUUUGGCUUUAGGUCGGUUUUGAAUAACCAAUAUUAGGGCUUUCUUUAGUAAAGCUUCUUUAGUAACUGCGAUGAUUAGAGAAUUUGUUUUUAAUCUGUGAGGAUCUCUCUUGCUACUUGAUAUUCCCUGUUUUAACAUUACAUAAUAGCUGCGUUUUCAUUGAAACUCUCCUACCAGUUGCCAAUUCUCAUUUCAGAUUCAUCACACUCUUUUCAAGGACAAUAGAAAACACCGCAAAAUUCUGGUGAAAAUCUCAAAGAAAAUCGAGUCCUCGAGUUGACGUUUGAUGAUAAUGCGGCAAUUGGUUGAUCUAUCAUUCCAUGGAAGUCAACAAUGAAAGAGACCAGAUCUCGGUGUCCUCUCAUAAUUGAUUCACUAAUGAUUGAUUGCAUGAUUAAUUGGCCACCUAAAAUCAAGAGCUCAAACUACACUUCGGUGCACACUCUUAAGCCACACCCCGUAAUAUAUUAAUAUCCACUAAAACAUGAAUAAAGCAGAAACUAAAAUGGAUAUAUAUAUAUAUAUAUAUAUAUAUAUAUAUAUAUAUAUAUAUAUAUAUAUAUAUAAAACUGCAAACAACAAACAACUUCAGAAAAAACAGGAAGCAUUAUCGAAGUAUCUUGCGCCUUUCGAUCAUAGGCGUCAAUCGAUCACGUCAUUUCUUGAACAAUUUAAGAUGAGCACGUACUACCAACAUAAAAACUCGAGCUCAACUAUAGCUCGAGUUCGUUAAGCCACUGUACAAUCGGAGACAAGCCUGGAACUUGACAGUACAAUUAACUCAUCUCAUCCAUAGCCCUACCUAGGCUUUUGUGAGCACCUAAAUAACCUAAUUGUCAGUCGAGUUAGGUUUCAAGAGACUUUGAAUUUUCAUUUAGAUAAGAUAGCAAACAUCUUCGGAUUAUUAUUCAACUUUAGGAACUAUAUUUCACAGAAUACAAACUUCACGAACUGGGAUUCACAGAAUACAUAGAAAUGCUUCUCGAUUAUUUAUUAGAGAAACUCCUCACACCUUUUGUAAUGCCAAAGAGGAAGUACUCGACGAGUAACAAGCAGACAGAAACAACAAACACACCACAUGACACAGAGAAGCAAAAACGACAGAUAGCAGCAAAGCCAUCAGAGCGGAUAUAUUGCCGGUGCUCGGUUAAUUAUUUUCCUGAUCGGACCAGGAUACUCAUUCUGCAAUUGGACAACCUCCUUCCAUGAGGGGCGAGUCGAGAUUGCGUUCCACCACCUCUCCACAUUCUUCCUUUCAGUGAAAAGUUCCUGUCCCCUUUUAGACAGAGUAACAAGAUAAUGAGAAUUCGGGAGGUGCGAAAGAUCCGCGAGGGUAAAACUAUCCCCAGCUAAGUAUUUGCUGUCUCCAAGUCGCUUAUUGUAAAUGUCAAGUAUCGCAGAGAGCUUCUUCUCAUUUUGUUCUAUCACGGCUUCGUCAGGGUGUAUGCCCAACGGCUCAGCAAAAGCCAAAUGAAAGAUCAGUGCGGAGCUCGGACGUGCAAAGCUGAGAGCUUCUGAUUGAAGCCACUGCUCAAUCAAUGCCCUAUCCAGUGCUCCUUUUCCGUAAAGUGCUUUGUUCCCCUCAUCUUCGUACUUGGUGGCGACGUGACGUAUUAUGGCCCUCGAAUCUAACAGGACAAAAGUAACAAGAUUGCAUUUCACUUUUUGGCCGGUAUUGCAAAUAAACGAGGCUAAAAUGCAAGAAACGACCUAACAAAUAUCAUGAUUUUACAUAUGAAACACAGGUUUUGCAAAUUAAGGCAUGCGGAAAACAAAGCGGAAAACAUGGCAUCUGCAGGGGAAUUAUCAUAAAACUUAACCAAAAUAAACGACAAGGAGCAUCAGCGUGCUUCACUUACUGGUAAGGGUGAGAUCCCCAUCCUUAAAUGUCACUUGACCACUGAUAUCCUGCAAGGUUUGAAAGGAAGAAUCACAAGAUUUAUCCUCAUCAGAGUGUAAACACCACCCUAGUAAACAAAGAUUGUAAACACCUGUAUGCAUGAACAAAUAUGCUUAUCGAGUAACUUGCCUGGAGCUUGAUGAAUUCAGGUACAUUGGGUUGUCCAUUGAAUUUAUCAGCGCGAACGAGUUCGAACUUUCGAUUCUUUUCAAAGAGGCAAGUCAGCACCCUCGCAACAUCUGUGGAGGCCGGCUGUCCAAACACUUGCAAACCAGCCAUUUUGUGAGUUUUAGUUCCCCUUUAAUUUAAUUCGAUCUCACACGAGCUGCACCGAUAUGGAGUAUAGCCACAAUUCCGGCAGUAUUUAAGGUGCGGUUGGCCAGACGAAUUUUCUUUUCUUGGUAUGUACGUAGGCUAGCACCACAAGCAGGAAAAGACAGAGGAUAAAGUAAAGGGCAAAGAAUAGGGAUUCUUGCUUCUAACAGUACUACUGUAACUACCAGAUUUAGUAUGUAAUAUUGAAAGAAGGGCUAAAGUGCAUACCCUCUUGAGUUGUAUUAACGAAUAUAUAUAGUACAAGAAAUUGUCUUACUAUAGUAACAAUGAUUACUAUAGUAAGAGUAUAAAUAGGAUUACAUACUAUACAAUCCUACUCUAUAGAAAGCAAUGAUACUACUCUAUAUAAGGCAAUAAUACACAAUAUCCUAAUAUAGAUAAAAUAUAUCGUAACAAAUAUGCCUUAUGCUAGCUGUCAGUCUUUUAUAUAAUUUUUCAGCAUAAUACAUAAAUCAUGGACUAGAGGAAUAUAACAAAGAAAAGGUUUAAUGUAUCAUACAAGGUUGUGCCUGCUACAUCGGAAAAAGGAUUCAUUAUAGGUUGGCAAAGAAGUCUGGAAUCAAAUGGAUUUGAAGUGAAAAAGAAUUAAUCACUUUUUGCUAGUGGGACAAGAAUUAGAUCUUUGAUUAAAGUAUUAAGCUUCCUCUCAAGCACAAUUAUGAUGGAAUCAAUGGUAAUGAAAUGUAGUAAGUGGAAUUUUUUACUUGCAAUAGACACAGCUUGUUCUUGCACCGGAGGCAAUCUUCUUCGAUAACCAUAUGAAAUAAUAUAUUGGAUUGUCAGAGUUUAGUUUAGCUUAUGUUUAUGAAAGCUGACAGAAUUUCCAUUACCUUGCUGCUCACAUGGAAAGAUGGAGAAUGAAUUCUUCAAAAACAAAACAGAGAUACUAGAUAGUGGAAACAUAAUAAUUUAUAAGCUGAAUGUAGAUGUCUAUGUUGUUACUAUAUCCGGAUGGAGCUUGGAAAUGAUGUAACCGAUCCUCUCAUCAUCAUCAGAGUUUGAUGAAACUAUGCAUUCUUUCAUUUUUCGCUCUAAAAAACUUACCCCCAGUCAAUUUUGACUAGGGGCAGCCUUUGUUAAUUCAAGUAUGGUUGUUAAGGCAUUGUUAGAUUAAGCGCAUCCUAUCCGUAGGGUAAAAAACACAGGAAAGAAAAAGGUUCAAUGUAUCAUACAAGAUUGCACCCCUAGAUCACCAAAGGAGACAGCCAUGUGAGGGAAAAGCCAUGUGAGGGAAAGAAAGAUGGCAUCAAGUGAACCACAAGUUAAGAAAUUUUAAGUUUCCUUUGUCUGGGAACAAUGAUUAGAUCUUGAUCAAAGUUACAUUCUUAGUACGGUGAACCUGUAUGAUCAAAUCCAUGUACAACUAAGACGUCAAGAACCAGUUCAGAAUGUAAAUCCCAUUGUUUGCAUAAGAAAGCAAUAGACACUAGAUGAUUAAACGGAACCAGCAUAAACAAUUUAAGCAGAUAUCAUAUCUGAUGAUUAUCACUAAUCCUCCCAUUAUACUUUAGAGUUUGACAAACCAUGCAAAUUGUUUUGUUUCUAUUAAUUCCGAUUUAGCCCAAAAAAUCAGCUUCAGCCAUGUUUGGUUUGGAACAACCAGCAAAAGUGUGGUUGAACUAAUGUGGAUCAACAACGUUGAAUUAUACCGACCGUCUCUAGAGCAAGUGGCAAAGGAUUUGGUGGUUGGUAUCCGAGGUCCCAAGUUCGAAUCCUAGUUGAUUCAUAUUUCCAGCUAAGUUUAUUUCUAAAUGAAAUAAACGAAUCAAAUAGCGUGCUAUCUAUCUCUCAAAAAACAAAGUUGAAUUGUCAGAGUUUCAGAUCCUUUAACCACUGGAUCUUAAGCACGCAAAAUAUACCAAAUAAGCACUCCAGCAUCCAACCAUCAAAACAGAAAUGCACGAACUAUUUUAAACGAGAAUUUUGAGUACCCUGUACGACAAUUCCAAGACAAAUGGGAGUGGGGAUUGGUCACUAAAACUCAAAACUUAAAACGGGUAUCUCUUUGUCCUGAAUCAUAAUCCGCGAGAGAGAACUCUCUCCCCCAACCGGGAACUGACUCUCUCAAAGCUUGUUGCUCGUGCACAUUCAUUAGUACCUUCGCGAAAUUUGCAAUGACGGAGCCAAAGUCCAUGGCCAGACAAACGAGGAGCGUGCAUUAAGGAUUUGUUAUAAUAUGUUUGAAAAAAUCAUUAUCACCAACCGCUCAAUCCAUUUGCUAUUAUAGAUUAGCAACAUGGCAUAUCAAAUAUUAUGUUCUUACAUCCAUCUAUUUCAACACUAACACGAAUAAGAAGUUAUUUGCUGCCUUUAUCUGCCUAAAUUAUUUGAAAAUACCAACUAAUCAGGUUUUUGCAAAAAGUUUUUUCUUUUUGGAGUAUAAACAUUCAAUACUCUUUGUCUGUUACUAUAAUUUUAAUCCAUCAAAAUCGAACUCUUCCUCUGCCGUAGAAACUGUAUCCAAUAUGCUCCAAAUGGUGGCCAUUUGCACGCAAGGAAUCCACGGGACAUCCGAUCCCCGCUAUAUAAUUGUUCAAUGAUUCCAGCAUCACCACGAAAUUGCAUGGUAUUAAUUGUUGGAUUCAGUCUCUUGAACAUUUUUCCAAACACUCGGUUCCCGAGAUACAUAUUCAGAUAAACUAGAGUUAACAAGUUUCAUCAUUUCCCAAUAUAAAUCACUUGCUACUCUCAAAAAAUAUAUAAAUCACUUGCGCUUGUUAUUGAAAGGUUGAUGCAAACACUCCAAAUAGUCAGUAUACCACUGUAGAUCGCUUGCUACGGAGAUCACAGAGCACGAACCGCAUGGAAUAACACUUAGCUACUAAGAUUGUCCGAAAAGCACUACGAGAGAAACAUCUAUUUCCAAGUACCAAAAUUGUCCCCCUGCCCCCCAAAAAAAAGGAAAAAAAAAAAAGAAAGCCAGGAAUAAGGGGAAAAGUAAGAAACAAAGCCAAAAUCCGGACCUCAGGAAGAGCGCGUUCCCCUUCGGCUCGCUCCGGGCCAGAGAGCUCUUCCCCUAUAUUUUUGCUAGAUCAAUUGGUGAGCUAAGUUCAAUAAUAUCAGUUAAAAGUUAACCAUGUGGAAGGCAAGCGCGCAGAUGUGACGGGAGGCAUGUUGCGGACAUUGACAUCGAGCGGCAGCAUCCGGUAUUCAAUAUCGAGUUCUUUUAAGACUCUGAUCAUCUCCUGAACCACGAGCUCUCUCCUCCCCCACCUCAUCCCCAUAUCUUGGUGAUUGAUUCGGUGGCGCAUCCAUAUAGAUACUCUCAACCUGUUCAUGUCAUCCACAUCUCUAAGAACGACAGAUGGAUUAGGGUACCAAUGUUCCUUCUUACUCUCCAUAAACCUGCAACCACAUUACAGUGAAAAACCGUGCUCAAGUCACGUAUGUGUAGAGACGGUAUAAUUGUAGAUAACUGUUCAUGGUCAUCCCAUGUUAUAAUGGUUCAUAUUUUAACUAGAUGGCGAUAAUUCAUUGAAAAAAGUCAAAAUCAAGACAUUAUUACAAAUAAUAAAAUAAUCCUUUCAUGACAGUUAUCCAUGUCCCACAUUUUUUGGAGAUGCUGCAUCCAAUUACGGUUUGUUAUAGGAUUUAGCUAAAUAUGAAACAAAAGAAAAUAUAUUAUAAUUGAUCCUAGAUAACCAUUCUACUGCAACGGCGUUUCACCUUCCAAAAUUAUUAGAUAGCAAGAUUCUAGAAGUAUAAACUAGUCUAGAUAGCCAAUUUGUUGAUAUUGCUUAGACCUACUACUAGUUUAAUUUGCUCCACAUAUUUCCUGAAUUUCUGCUCUCCGAACUCUAUCACUACUACUGUAAAAAAUUAGAGGAGACUAACAUCUUAUCAAAUCGACAACAGCGCCAAUUGAUAUAAAAUGCUGGAAAAGUUUUGAUACUUACUGAAUUAUUCUUUGCUUCAUGAUGGCGAGCUUUUCCACGGGUGUUGCUACAUGAACACAGAAGUCAAUUGAUUCUCCCAUAUCCGGGCUUCGAUAAAAAUUGCUGAUUGGUUUGGUAGCAAGAAGACUAUUGGGGUAGUAAAUUUUGAGGUUAUCGUACCGCAGAAAAAUUGUUGCCAUGAUAUUCAUUUCCUCGACAACCAUCUGAAAUCGGAAUAUUGCAUAUCAGCAAUUCAUGUCAGAUAAUUAAUUAUUAGGGAACAGAACAGGACAAGUCAAGGAUAUGCAUCACCUGAACCUCCUCCACUUCACAACGAUCUCCAACAUCAAAGGGGUGCACGACAAAUAAGAAAAUGAUAGAUUCAAAAACCAUCUUUAAAGUGUUCCCAAACAUAAAAACUGCCAGAAGGACCUGAGAGCUGAGGAAGACGAAGAAAUGGGUUGUCGCAAUACCCAGAAUGAGAAGCCACAGGACAAAUGCAAUGACACCUACAACAAUGUUUGCCAUUUGGUUCAGCUUAUUCACUGCAGUUUUCGUAUCAUUAAGAGUCAAGGCAAGGGCUUUGCGUUCUCUGAAUGCAUUGACCUGCAGCAAAACGGAAGAGAUGAUCCCAAGGGGGGAGGGGAAUAUACUUAUGCUUCUAAGCCAAUGAUCAGCCAGGAAUAUACGACAAAGAAACUAAACAAAAAACAAUAAUAAUAUCAUUACCACCCAGUUCUUGAGGGACUUCCUGCUGACCCUGUUAUUCUCUUGUGCUCCCUCAAAAAGGCUCAUAGUUUUCACAGCUUCCUCGUGCCUCAUGAAACGCAUUAAAUCCGACAAGUAGAUAUACCUAUGACGACAGAAAUGAGUCAUUACUUGGUCAAAAAAAUCAACUGGAUCACAUUCACGAACUAGGUGAAUGACAAUACGCGGUGCAGAGCUGAAGACAACAAAUGUAGUACUCCACGAUAGCAAUAAACGUAAUUUUUGAAAAAAUAGAAUAAACGACGAACAUAUUUCAGCCCACAAAAUUGUUCUAGUUUUGUAAGGAUAAACAGGCGCGCUUCAUAGGUAGCUAAUGGCUCGUAUUAGUCAAUAAGACUGUCAACCUUGCCAUACCCCUGUUAUUCUCAAAUGCAAGCAACUUGUAAAGUAGUUUUUACCAAGGUUCGGUAGAGAAGGGAAGAAAAUCAAUUUGACGACUUCAAGACGAAUUUUUUAGUUAGCAAACCAAUUCGCCAACAACUUUCACAUCCUCAUGAAUAUCAAACUUUUUCUUUCAGGCAUGAAGUUUUAUGAAAAGCAAUUUCUCUGCUAUAUAUAUACUGACUUGGUGGCUCGACCAACCAACUUGCACACAGGACAUAAAUAAAUAGAAGAGACGAGAAUUAAAGCACGGUUGGUUGGGUUGACCAGAGUUAUAGGACAUAUACACAACGCUAGCGGAGUAAUAAUAAUAGUAAUAAGAAGAAGAAGAAUGAAGAAUGAUAGAUAGGGACAUUUUAAAGGGAUGCGGAUGGACUCACUUGGCACCGGGCUUGGCGACGUUGUUGAAAAUCUUUCUGGCGGCAAGCUUGGCCUCGUACUCGCUCCUGAUCUGCUUGGCCGACUCGUCCUCCCCGCCCGUGGCCUGCGAGAUCUGCUCGUCGAGGGUCAUGAGCGUGCCGUACCUAACGAUCUUCAUGAGGCGCUUCAUAUUCCACGCGGACACGUUCUUCUGAUUGAGUUUGUGGAGCUGGUCGAUCGUGAUGACAUCCUCCUGCGGCUGCUGCGGGCCGCUCCCGGCGGCGUCCUUCCGCGAGACGGCCCGGGACAGCUUGAUGCUCUUCCCGAUCUGCCCGCUCUUCCUCAUGGCGCUGGCGCUGGCCCUGCCGCUGCCGCUGCCGCUGCCGCUUCUGGUGGGGAACGCGGCCUUGCGGAGAUCGCUGGGAAUGGUGACGCCGGCGCUCUGGAGCUUCUGCACCUCGGCGAAGACGCGCUCCUCCUCGUCGUGGUUGCGCUGGAUCUCGACGAGGGGCGGGCCGGAGAGCGUCUCGAUGACGUACUGGUUGAAGAGGGCCUCCUGGAUGCGGUCGAAGUAGGUGCUGACGUGGAAGGAGGAGGCGAGCACCUUGACGAGCAGCGUCUUGAGGAGGCGGAGCAGGGUGGCGACGAGGAGGCAGAAGAGGACCUUGGUGACGUAGGGGAGGAUGCGGCUGCGCGUCUCGCGCUCCACCUUGCUGUCGAACAUCAAGUGCCAGGAGACGAGGACGAGGCCCAGCCAGAGGCUGUUCUGGACGGCCCUGCGCACGCCGUAGACGAAGUAGAGCACGCGCUUGCGGAGGAGGAAGUUGCGCUCCACGAAGAACACGGCCACGCGGAUCAGCCACCCGGAGACGAGGCGCCCGCAGAUGAGCACGAACACCAGCAGCUCCCACUUCCACAGGUGGAGCCCCCACACCGUCUGCCGCUGCAGCCGCCGCACGCCCAGGCUGCACGCCAGGGCGCCCAGGAUCACGACCAGGCUCAGCCACUGCAGCAGCGUCAGCGGGUCCAGCUUCGCGCGCUUGAACUCGUCGGGGAUGUCCUCGUCCACGAACGGGUCCUCGUCGUCCUCGUCCAAGGCCGGCGGCCCCCCGGCUUUGCCCAUCGCUCCCGAUUUGCCCAUCGCGCCCGAUUUGCCCAUCUGCCCCGAUCUGGCCGGCACGCGCCCGGAUCGCCCGCCGCCGUCGUUGCUAGUUGCGGACGACAGCGGCGGGGGGUCCAUGAGCCUGGAGCGGGUCUUGGCGCGGAGCAGCGCGGAGGGGGCGCGGCGGAAGGAGGAGUUGGAGGUGCAGCGGAGAACCUCGGCGGGGGGUACUCCGUUCUUGUCUCGGCCGUCAUCGUCGGAGGAGGAGGAGGAGGGGGAGAGGGAGGAGGGGGAGAGGGGGUGGUCGGCGGAGGGGUCCUGGAAGGAGACGCGGAGCUCCUUGGAGGCGGAGAUGGAGGAGGGGGGCUUCUUGAGCUCCUCCAUCUCGAGGUCCAUGUCCAGCGACAUCUCCGCCCCGGAGGCCUUCUGCUUGUGGAGGAAGGAGCCGAUCAGCCGGGACGGAGGGUCCUCGCUGAUCUCCGCCACCGGAUUCAGGCUCUGCGGCGGAUGGCUCUUGAAGCUGAAGCCGCUACUGCCGCCUCCGCCUCCGCCGCUGCCGCCAUUAUCACCGUCAUCCUUCCAGAAUUCGUAGCUCCCCUCCCUCCAUACCUUAGGGAGGGCGGCGGCGGAGGAGGUGGUGGUGGUAGUGUUAGUAGUGGUGUUGGUGCUGGUGGCGGCGGCGGCGGAGGUAGUGGAGGUGGGGAUGGGAGGGGGGUCGACGAAGGGGUUGUGGCUGUUGCCGUCGAUCUUGACGACGACCUCGCGGCGGUCGGGGUCGUCGUGGUCGACGAGGAUGGGCUGCUCCUCCUGCAGGUCGAAGGAGGGGUUGCGGGAGGACGAGUACUUGUGGGACCCGUACGACUUGAGAGAUUUGCGAAGAGGAUCCAUCGCUCUCUUCUCUCCUCUUCUCUCCCGCCGGGAGGAUCAGACGAAAGGAAGAGGCGGAGAAGCGUUUCUCGUUUUUUUUUUUUUUUAUUUUGAUUUUUCCUGAAUAUUCCGAAUCUCGCUUGACAACAACACUUCUCGUGCUGCCCAGUAUGGGAAGAGGAAGUAGGGCUGGGAUAGAAAAGGAAAAGGAGAGACGGAGGGGGACACGGGGGGAAACAGGGCAAGAGUUUAUAUGCUCUGUUGGGUACGUGUCAACAAAAAAAAGGACAUCAUACGCUGUAGCAGGUGUUGGUCCGCUGCUUCGGACCGCGUAGCUGACCCCGCUUGCUUGAAGAAGCAUAUUUUGGUCCGAAUUUAUGGUGGAGAUGCCAAGUGCUCCUCGUACAGAGCAGCGCUGGACGUCCUAUCCUAUCAUUAACGGGGCGCGACGUCCAAUGACCCGAAAUUUCAGCACGAAUGGGGUCCAGACGUGCGACUAUUUAGGCCGAGAAGGGUGCUCCGAGGGAGCGAGCUACCGAGUCGGAUGCCGGAGGGUAGCCUCUCGUAAUUUGGGGGUAAAAUUAAGGGGGGGCGCUCUGGACGGAGAUGUUGACGCUUGUCCAGAGUGCAUGGAGGGGCUACGGGAGGGCGGUGUUCGUGAGAGAGACGUGGAUGGCAGGACGAAGGCUGCCUGCAUGGCGUCGCCCGCGACGCGACGAACCGACGCCUCGGGCCGCGUAAUCGUGCCGCAUUUUCUUUGUUGGAGGAAAGCGAAACGAAUCGCCUGCGAGAACAGCCAUCCAAAAGAUGGAAAUUUUUUUAUUUCUUAAAAAAAUUGAUAGGAAUCAACCCAGUCACCCAGGUGGAGGUUAAUCACGUUUAACAUGGGUUUUUUUUCUGGCGAAGGAUCCAGAGUAUUGGUUUAAUAAAUAGCAAAAUUACAAGAAAUUAAUAACCAGUAGUAAGAGUGGUGAGAACGAGUUCCACGGAAGCCCUAUGUAUUAUUCUAAUCAGUCUUUGUAUGCCGCGCAACAACAACGAAACAUAAACCAUAACUCAAUACUAAGAUACUAAUUUCUUGUAAAAUAUUUCUUUUAAUAUAAUAUUUUCUUAUUUUAAUAUAAUAUACUAAAAUAUUUCUUAAGAGUGUCCCAAGAGAACUCUCCGCAUAAACCCGUCCGCUCAUAUUUAUAGAGAUUCACUCAAUCAGAUCAAUCCAACUACUAAGAACCCGAAAGCACCUCCUCCUAAAAAAGAGAUGAAUUUAGUACCUUAGCACUACCACCGAGUAAACCAUGAUAUCGAAGCGAAUACCAUCUAGUCCCUCUAUCGCAAUCUACAUUGCUACCCAACACCAUCCCAAGUAAAACCCUGUAUACAUUGUGCUAGUCCAACCCACCUCUCCCUAGUGGUCUAUUCACAACAACGGGGCUGGAACCACAGACCGUCUGUAGCCAUCUCUCUUUUUAUCCAGUUUCUCUUCUUUCACCUUUUCUCUAGCGGCCUUUCACAAGUCAAAGAGGAUACCCAGCAUUCCGCUACUUCAUGCCCUCACAGCCAACGAAUGUGGAGAAGUGCUCCACUUCCAACAAGGUAGCCAAAAAUUUGGAAAUCAAAACAGACUAUGUAGGGAAAGUUUACUAGGAAAAGCCAUUUUCUGAAUUCAUCUAUAGAAUUGUCUUAUUGUCUUCUUGUUUGAUAUACAAAAUAAUUUAUUACGCUUUAAGGAAAAUAAUUUAGGUAUAGUAUAUACACUGUAAUUGUGUCGACAACCCGUUAUCAUAUCUACUUGAGUGAGCAAUAAGAUCCUGAACACGACGUUCGAGCAUCCAAAUAGGACAAACUUAAUGUAGUCUCUAAUAAAGCACCUUUACACCAAAUACAUUGCCCAACUCACUGCUUUACAACGAGCAUGCAGAAUGGCAUGAUACAAACAAAGAACAAGCAUACAACCUAACAAUGUGUUAUCCUGCGCCACAUCAUAUACAGAAUGAUAUUUUCUAUUUUUCCAUUCAUAUACCAUAGUAACAGAUAAAAAAAGAGUCAAAAUACGGUGCCAAUUUACUAUUCGAGUCUGUGCACCAUGUAACUUAAUUGUUACCCUUCAAAUGACCAAUCAUCAACAUCAUGAAACCUUUCUUCUAUUUAUGAGACUCAAAUGAAGAUCCAUAAAACGGAAAACAUGGCUUUGUGGAAACAACGUUCAACUUAUUAUUGCCUAACAAAGAGGAACGAUUAAAACACUCUACUGCAUGAAGUUUUUGGCCUAGUCUGUGAAUGUAUUUCCAAAUGCAACCACUUUAAUGCUUCAGAGGAUUCAAAAAAUUCAAAGCCACUAUACAACUUCUAUAAUCUGAUGCUAUAAGUAUCAAAGGUGAAAAGUUCUAGUGCUCUCAGAUUUUUCUCUUCUUUUUUUUGAAGCAUCGGCCUAAUUAUGAAGGAAAACGGGCUGAGAAUGUUAACUUUGUGUGUGUGUGUGUUGCGGGGNGGUGUGGUGGUUAUGAAAACGGGCGUGCUUGGAAACACAUUGCCCCGCUAGUAAUACAAUACAUCGCUAUGGAUAGUAAGCCAUUGAAACAAGCAUAAUAAUUACAAAGGAAAAUUAAGAGACUGCGAAAGAGAAGAAACAUGCCAACAGCAUCAAGCGUCAACGGUCACGCCUGAGAACUGAGAAAAGAUGACCAAGUGACUUCUUCUGAUGGCCCAUGGGCACAACCUGUUCACUAAAUGUAUGUCAAAAAGAAAUUCAAGCAACUGAAGUAGCUGAAUGGAUUAUGUGACGAGGAACAUACUUCCUUGGCAAUGAUGUUAAGUAUCUCUAGAAUAUCUGAGAAAUUUGGCCUUAAAGCUGGGUCUUGCUGCCAACAUUUCUCGAGCAGAACAGCAAGCUUAGGAUGAGUGUCCUUUGGAAUAGUGGGUCUCAAACCCUGAGUAACAAAGCAGAUGAAGAUUGUCGAACUGGUUGAAGAAUCAUUAGAUAAACCCAUUUUAAAAUGUGCAUUAUAUAGAUCACGAUAACCCAAUACUUGGUUCAGAAAAAAGAAAAAGGAUAUGUACUGUUUCUUGUCGUAUAUAUAACUCAUCUACAAUCAAGUUAGUUUCUAGAAUUAACCGUUUAGCCAAGGUUUUUGUGCUGAAAUGGUUUUCAGCAAUCAUGCAUACCCUUGAAGUGGUGGCUCUCUACAUAACUGAAUAAUCAUUCAAAUGAAAUUUACCUUCCAAAAAAAGAGGAGAUUUAGUGCAACAAGUUGCCAUAAAAAUUACACGAGCGACAGAAAAAUAUGCAUGAGACCUGGAGGGAAUGAAUCUGGAGUAUAAAUCACAUGUAGAAAAUAUUAUAGCAAAAGAAACGUGAAAAAUUGGUAAAUAGUUAUUGGUAUUUAUGAGGAAUAUGAAUGUUAAUAGCACAACCACUCAAACAAGAAAGGCGAUAUACCUUUUGAACAACAGCAACUGCUGCUUGAAGUGGUGUUAGAUCUUCGUAUGGGAGCUGAUCAAUGAAAGACAAUAAAGAAAAUGAAACAUCAACUUGAUAAAUAUGGUCUGCAUAAAACAUAGGGUAAAAGAUUGAUGCAAAGAAACCGCUGAUGCUACCUUUCCUGCCAGCAAUUCCCAAAGAACAAUACCAAAACUGAAAACAUCAGCCUUGUGAUCGUAAAAUUUGUGUUCAAUUACCUAGAAAUUGGAACUUAAUGAUCAGAUCAUAACAAAUUUUCUUGAGAGAAAGAUGACAUAUAUUGCAUUAAUACCAUAAAUAGGCAAAAGGUGGAAACAAUUGAAUAACUCAACAAGCAAAAUAUAUUUGCACAGCUUACUAAGCUUUUACUUACAACCUGAUAGUCAACAAAAAUCAAUUUCCCCAGUCUGUACUGUUGUGUUAUAUCUUUAAUAGUCAGCCCGAAGCCCAAAAAACAGAAACAAAAGCAUUAGGUAGCCAUACAUAGGAUUGCCAAAACCUACUGAGAUGGUUUUGCCAUGGGAGUAACAUUAUUCAAGCGAAAGGUGCUAUUGGAGGAAAGAAAAAUUGGAAUGAAAAUUUCAUGGAAAACCUUGACUAACCAAAACUGCAUAGGACAAUACGAUCCAUAUCACUGACCCUAAAUAGUUGGGCUUAAAGGCUAAGUUAUUGUUGAUGUUCUCAUUAUUAUUGUUCUUGCUGUUGCUGUUGUAAUAAACUAACCCUUAGUACAACUGAAGAGGAAUUUGAAAAAGGUUACUAUUCAUCAACCAAAAGAAAAAAAAAUAGUUGUUCAAGAACACAACAUAUUGACAAACGUACAUCAAAUUACAUUAAAUUAUGAGAUAAGAAACACAUUUCUUUUGUCAGAGUUGUAAUUUCAAGCACUGAUUUACCAGACACUCUCAUCACUUAAAUAUUCAGUAAACUGCUAGCUUAGAACGAUAUAAUUAUCAGAAGAACCAACCUCAGGAGCCAUCCAUCGGUAUGUUCCUGUUUCUGCAGUCAUUACUCCAGACUGAGCUUUAACCCGGGCCACUCCAAAAUCUGCUACCUUGACAACCUGUGGGCAGAUGAUGUAUUAGACGACCAAACAGAUAAUAAGCAAGACAUGCACACAAGAACAACGACAGACAAGAUGAUUUAAAAAAUUUAGAUUAUUACACGAAUUGAUAUUGACAAGUGAUGCUGCGACACCAACCGCACCAAUCAAGGGGUUUAUAAGAGUUGGAAAAAGAAGGGGCAUGCGUUAAGCUAUAUAUAACCUUAACAAAAAUUAUUUGAAUUAAAAAAUUAAUUUUCUACACAAUUUAUAUAUUCGAGCAGAAGAAAACAAUAUAACAAUGGGGUAAUAUGAUAGAAAAUACAAAUGCAAUGCUAACCGCUAGCAAAGGAGACAAGCACAUAAUAACAAUAUUAUGUAAUAUGUAAAAUAAUUUAGAUUCAUUUACUUUUAAUGUGCCUCUCGCACAAAAAAAUGUGACGGCAUACUACUUAAAAUAGCAUGUGCGGAAUUAAAUACCUCAUUUUCAUCCAUAAGAAGAUUUGCUGUCUUCAGGUCCCUGUGGAUAAUAUUACAGUGGUGCAAAUAGUUCAUUCCCUUUGAUACAUCAGUAGCAAUCCUGAGCACAUCUGGGAGCUGGAAAACACCUUUCUUGUUGUGAAGAAAGUCAAAUACACUCCCUCCACGCAUGAAUUCUGACAAUGAAACAAACCUGACUCAAAUAUUCAGUCAACUAAACAAGAAGACAACAUGAAUAAUGUGUAGGAGAUUUGUUCAUUCUACAGUGCAUUCUCCACAACAACUCUAAAAGCUAAGCAUACUACCUGUAACUAUACACAAAAUAGGUGGUCUGGUGCAUGCGCCAAUAAACUGCACAACAUUCUUGUGACGAACCUUUCUGCAGAGAUUGGAUUGGAAAGAAUUGAAGAAAGUAAAGAAGAAGAUUCAGGGACAAGAGGAUGCAUACCCCUCUCUAAAUAAAAAAAAUUCUUUCGUUAAAUAUAAUAAGAAAUGAAAUGGAAGAUCAAUUUGUGAAACAAAAAAAAGAGUGAAAUGACACUAAUAGGAAUGUAGUAGAAGCAUAAGGCAUCAAAGCAACAUUUGUUUUCAAUGUCACACAUUAUUCAUGUGUUCUGGCCAAUAAUAAAAGAAUAUUUAUUUUCAUAAUGGUCUUCUCCAUAAUGGCUGUCCAAGACUCCCAAAUCCUCUUCUCACAUGCAUUGGUGUGAAAAUAUUAUGCAAUCAAUAUUCUCCUCCUAACAUGAGAAUAACAUAUUUGAAAAUUUCAGAUAAUCCAAAUGCUGGCAUUCCUGAGAAACUAAACAGAAUUAUGAUAGUUUAACUCACAGUCACAAGGGUAAAGGUAAAACACCAAAUGAGAGCAAUGCCACCUAAAGAAUACUCUUACAAGGCUUCACUUAAAAAUUUGACCAUUAAAUAACCUUGUCAAUCAAAUGCAUCAUAUAACAGCCAGCAUGCAAGGUUCCAGCAAUUAAUUGUGAAGUACCUGGAAGGCAAGGAGCUAUGCAUCCUUACACUCCCAAAUGAUGGCCACUAGGCAUCCAACGAGGUUGUCUGUCUCUUGGCAAAAAACCACCACUUCGGUGGAACUGGUAAGCCAGAACCAUCACUCAUAGUAACCGUAAGUGACUCUAAUAAACCAUUCAGUGCAUGAUUGAAGGCCUUUAAGCUACUAACUAAUGUUCUUAACAAGUCACAUAACUGGGAAACUUUUCCAUAAAGUCAAUGAGCUAAAUAGUAUUCACUUUCAAAAUCCUUAUUUUGAGGUUGCUAAACAACCAUACGUCAGUUUACUUUUCAAAUGCUUCCAACUUUCAAAUAAGCCAUUAAACAAUAACCACAGUAACCUCCACUGGACAUGAUAUACAAACAAGGGUAUCUUCACCAACUACAUGCUCCUUUCGGUCUCUAAAUUAUUCAUGUAGUUUUAUGUACUAGCUUGUCCGACGAAUGCAUAAGAAGCCAUUCGAAAGGUGCUUUGCUAGGGGGAUCUUGGGAAGCUUUGUUCUGAACAUUAAGUUGGAGCAUUUUUUUUCUUCUUCCAAAUAUACAGCAUGUAUUCAGUAGCCUAUGUCUAUGCAGUAUGCCCUACCUUGCCUCUCUGAACAAGUUAUGAGACCCAUCCAUCCUGAAGUAAUGCUAUGUAAAUUCUCUAGCUAUCAGAGGAGAUAGCUUUAUAGACCAUUUAUUGCACCUCAAUCAUCUCAAAACAUGGGGAUGCAAACACCCCUUUCCUAAACUCCCUCCAAGCAUUACAUCGCAAGGGAGUUUAUAGCUCAAAAAAUCAAUGUAAAAAUACUAAGGGAAUAAAAAACAUAUCAUCAUAUGAUACUAACAGCAAAAUCAGGAUUAUCCCCUCAUGGACGAUAGUGCAAGUUGUUCAGCUACUACUUGUCUAAGUGUUCCUUCAUAUAAAAUGAUAGGAGACAAAUCCAAUGAUCAAAACUAGGAAGUAGGAGGAAAAAAAAAUGCAACAGCCAACUAAUAAAAAUGUAUCUGUUUCAUAUGGAAUGGAAAAAAAAAAAAAAUAAACAAUAGAAAGAUUUUACUGAAACUAGGUACGGCUUUUUACAAACCUCAUAAUAUAUACUUCCUGUGCAAACUCACGCAGCCUAUCAAUGCUGACAAGCUCCGGUUUCAGAACCUUAAUGGCUACAUCUUGGCUACAGUAUGUUCCACGGUAACUGACAAGGAAACGGUAUAUGAUCCAGAUGAUUGAAAUGAAAAAUAUCACUCUAUCUAAGAGCAGUCUAUAUUGUUAACUCGUAGAACUUACAGAUUACCAUAAGAUCCAUAUGCCAGUUUACUCUCAAAUUUUAGAAGCCUGACAUCAAUUUCCCAAACAUCAGCUCCAUCUACAGGUAUCUGGACAUGAUCAGUUGGGCAUUCCUCCAUAGCUUCUACUUCCUCUUUAGGUAACUUUGACUGCGCCAACAACAAAAUUUAGUUCUGUACUAAUUUCAGGAGCAGAACGAAAGGUUAUGCCAUGCUUGAAGGAAAGGAAAAGGAGGCCAGGCAGCCAAAGUUAGAAUACAAAAAGACUAUUGACCAAGAUGAGAGGUGGUGUAUCACCAGCUCUCGAGAGAAAAAUUCGAAGGAACAAGACCUAUCCAACAAGAUAAGUAAAAGAUGGAGUAUCUGAUAAGCACGUUCAAUGGAAUUCAUUCUAAAGUUCACGACGUAAAUUACUUGGGAGAUACCUCUAUUGCUAGCUGGUUUAAUCUACCCCCACCAUAUGGACUCGAGCCAUUAAGUAUGUUAUUGAUGAAUGGAACCUUCCAGAUAAUUGCAAAAGCAUCAUUUUUGUAAGAACAAGAGGAUAACAUCGAGAGUUCUAGAGUCACAAAAAAAAAGAAAAAAAAAAAGCUCGUAGCUAUCUUUUAUCUAAUGGACUGACCUAUAUGUUGAAUUGCUUAAUCAUGUAAUCCACCAAAAUAAUCAAGAGUUAAUUAUAUCUAAUAGAGAAGAUAGUUUUGUGAGACAACAUUGAUGUUGACCAACAACAUAGAAGUGAUACAGCAGAAUAGCUGGCUUUGGUACUUGAUUGACAACAACCCCUCACAAAUAAUGAAUGAAGAUGAACAUUCCAAUGGGAACAUCCUAAUGGUUUCAACUUGGCUUUUAAAAUGACCCAAACAUAUAAUGAAAUAAAUUUGCACAUCAAUUUUCAUUAGCAUCUAGCAAAUAGAUGAUUACCUUUGUUUUGACAAUUUCUUUCUUCAGUGCACUUCUUAGAUUGCCAGUGUCCUGGAAAUUUCAGAGAAAAGUAAGCUUUUAGUUGGAAAUAGUAGAUAUAGAGAACUGUAAUCCAAAAUUGAAUUGAUGAAAAUCUUAAAAGAGAAUCAUGAUAGAAAAUAGAAGAUACAGUUCCUACAAUACUAUCUAGCAUUGGCAUCAAGAACUUCAUCUACAAAAAUGAAAGAACAAAGGGAACAAAAUUCCAAUGUUUCAUUUAUUAAUAUCAGCAGAAAUUUGCUAAUUAAUAUGUAUAGAAAGCCCAAACACAUAAUGAAGAGCCCAUUCCCAAAGCAUGCAUAAGAUCUGAAGCUUGCUUUCCGAGCAAUAAAACUUGAAGGUAACAAUUUCAUACAUAUCCCUGAAAACUAGUUAUCUGAAACUCAUCGGUCUAAACUUCAUAUUUGUGUAUUUAUCUUCACAAGUUAAAAUCAAAAGAACUCUCUUUUGACCGCUGGCAGGUAAAUCAUUCACGGUGGAUUCUUUAUUAAUGAAAGGACAGUUCUAACCUUUCAAAAUGUCGCUUAAAAAUGUUUGAUUGGGAGAUUGAACAGAGAAAAUGCAUCCAAUAUUUGGGGCCAAGGCUAAGGUAAAAUGGUUUGCAGAGAAAAAAGGAGAUGUGAUACCCUUAUUAGCCUCUUGAAUACGACAGUCAAAACAAUUUCCUCCAAGCAUUUAAAAGGCGAAGAAGUGAUUUGGAGAAAUAGGGGUCAAUUCCAGCCAAUGAACUACCAUUAGUUAAAAGAGAUGUGUAAAUCUAUAUUCAUAUUUCAAAUUUAAGUGAAUAAAGAGACUAAUCUCAUGUAACAUUUGCAGGGAUACAUUUGUGAAUGCCCCAGAAGUAUAUUAAUUGGCAAUUAUGGAGUCAAGGACUUAUGUUUGGAUAUAUUUGAUGUAUCCCUACUUAUUAGACUUUUUCCUAGUAUAAAAGAAUUGAGUUAGGAUCCAUACACAUACAAAAUACAAAUGGUAUACAAAAAAAAAAAAAACUCCUUUUCUUUAAAGUAGUCUAGUAUAUGGAAGAGAAAGAUAGCUUCUAAAAUGCAGUUUUAGAACUCACUCAGGUAAAAGAAGGAUAGUUUAAUGAAUAUCAUUCUAUAGCUCUCCCAGGUUAACCAUCCUCCUUUUGUGAAACUCCCAGGGGUUUAAUAAUCUUUCUCAGGUCUCCAAGCAAAUCAUAAUCACCUUUUGAUAGCAUAAAGUGAGAUUUAGACUACUACUAAAACACUACAUCUACUCUAAUUCUUUAACUUUCAUUUGGAACAUGUAAUAAACAAACAUUAGUACAACCAAGUGCUUAAGCUACACCUACAUAGACAGCCUUGCCCUGGUGCAAAAGAAAACUAACCCCACACGAAUAAGAGAACAUUCAUGAUACAAUUCUCUGGCUAACGAAGAUGCAGAAUUACCUCCGAUAGCCAGCCAUCAACCACAAAAAUAUCUAACGAGUAACCGUCAUUAGUGGAAAACGCAUGUGCUUCUCGAAUGCUGAGACCAACUUCAGCAAGCAAGGAAGUUAACUAGGAAGAGAAAAAUAAUACCAAAAUUAAUAUCACGAGAAUAUGUGAAAUAUACUUGUUCAAUGAGCCAUAUUAUGAUUUCAAUUUUGAAAAAAGAGAUCAAUCACCUGACUAAGAAGCUUUGGCUUAUCAUCUGUUGAAAAAGUGAUCUCGUGUAUAGGCCUACAAGAACAUCAAAUAUCAGAAAUUAGGAGCGUGGACAAGUAUACUAAGGAAAAAAAAGAAAAGAGAAACACUCCAUAAGUUGAUAUAUGCUUAAAUACAUAAUAAAUAAAUUAAUAUCUAAAUGGAACUUAAUUCAUGCUUUAUGUAGUUCAAUACAAAUUUUAUGGUAAAGUGUAAUCAGAAACAACUCUAACCAAUCCUCAAAUACUAAUUCUCAAGUUGAUCUUCCUCCAAUUUCCAAAUCAUUAUUCUAUGACUCCAAUUCAUGAAUUCCUAGAUUUCUUCUCCAUUUCUUUGAUAAAUCCGUGGUCCUGAGCUUACCAAGAAUUUCCCACAUCAUCUAUUAAGUCUAAACUAGCAUCCCACGCUCAACAAUUAAAAUAAUAAACUAAAGAAGCAUAUUACAAACCAUUCUUUUGGUGGAGCCCUCAUAGGGACCAAUACUGCACAUUAUGUUGAACGAGUUGCUUACAAGAAUUAUCUUAUCAGGUUGCAGAAUACAACUCCUAGAAGUCACUAUCAUAACAAAAUAGACAAGAAUUAUCCAGCCUCUCGGACGAUAUAGAAAGAAAGCAUUAAUAUAUUACGGACAAAGCAUUUAUAUUACAAAGCUGUAAAUGGCCGUUUCAGUGACAGAUGGGCUGCUAGAGUUUCUUCAGCAGUUUUGGCGACAUCAGAAGAUUCAAGCGGCCUAAUAAGUCUCAAACUCACAUGUACCACAAAUAGGGAAAAUGAAGAAUAAUCUUAAAACAUGAAUAUAACAAUGUUUCAAAUUUUCAAUGCAUAACUGUGAUUCUGAAGCCUUUUUUUUUUUGUUGUUUCAGCAGCUUCUACCUGAAAGCCAAUUACAUGAAAUGCAAUUUAGCAAAUUAUAAAGUAUAUCAAACAAUGUACUUGUCUUGCUUGUGGCUAAGAAUUCAGUACAUAAAGAAAAGUGGAAUGUCUAGACAUCCAAUGAAAUUACCUCCAAGUUUUAGAGGCACAAAUUAUAAAGUAGGAUAAACACCGCAUCCUUCCACCACUAAAUUCAUCCAGACCAAACGCUACAUGGUUCACGCAAACACUAGCCAUGUAAUAAUAGUUGUUAAUUAUGCAGAUGAAAUUUCAACUAAGCAAAAGAUUUUCGGAAGCCAAGAAACACAGACUAGUAGAGCUAAAAUCUGAUAGUAAAAUAAAACAAGCAAAUAGAACUCUAAGGUGGAUUUCUCUAAUCUCAAAGGCAAAAAAUGAUUUAAUUAUCUAAAUAAUGUGAAUUAUUUAGCAUGAAAGUAUUAGUUGAAAAAAUGACCUGAAAGAGUGCCGGUAAGAAUGAACAGCUCUAUCUCCAUCUUGAACCUGUUGGCUAUCAACGUCAAGAGCCAAAGCUUUAUGAUCCGAUGAUAGAGCGAAGGCCGGAUAGAAAUAAAUGCUGAAGAAUGGAUCAAAUAAGAGAAGAGAAGACAUGAAAUCAAGAUAAAACUACGUAAUUGAAUGUGCAAAGCAGAAAAUGAGAAACAUUAUUUUCAAAAGGAAACCACAAUAAGAAGAGCCAUAAGCACCUUUGUUCAUUGCCCGCAUAUGGAAAAUGUUUCACAUUUUGCUCCUCCUGCCUAUUAGAAUGAGAAGUCUCAUGUUUGACCAUACUGUGAAUAUUCAUUACCUGAAAAGAAACUCUUUCUGAUAUAAAUAGCAAAUUCAAAGAUAUUAAACUAGAAUUUGGCACUGUUAUAAGAACUAAAAAGAAGUAUGCAUGUGAUGGCUUUCUUCAAGAUUCACAAAAUCCAUUUGACCUAAUGGCCUAAUAAAAUUAGACUGUUUACCUCCUAAGAUCUUGAUUGAUUCAAAAGGCACCAAAUCUUGGUUUCAAUUCCGAAAUUUCAUGGAAGCAAUUGGGGAGCAUAAACUACAACUUAUUACGAAAUUUACUUUCAUAAGUACACCAAGCAAACUUAUACAAAUAGGCAAUAACAAUAACCGCAGUUAAUUUAAAUACUUAAACAAUAAAAUUGAGAAAUAAAGAAUGCAUCAUAAAUCACAUCCAAUUAUGACAAGCUUCACACUUUUCGAUUAGACAUUACUACAUUAUGCUGAAAAUUCAUCUCCACGUGUCUUACCUUCCUAAAAGUAAUCUAAAGAGUUUACAUGCACAUACCAUACUCAGAUUUAGGAAAAACAUAGAGAAUCACCAAGCAACCAGAAAAUAAAUGUAACCAAAGAUUAGACGCGGCAAUAAGAGGAUAAGACCUUCACCAUUAACGAGAAGUUUAAAUGUUUUACUUUCAAUAGACUGAAGAGAUCAUAACUCAAAAGAAGCUUAUAUUUUCUCUGGUUUUAUCAGACCCAAAACAGUAAUAACUCAUAGGCCAACUGUGAACAACCACAUGUUUGUUGUAAACCUUUCGGCAGCUUUCUAAACUUGAAAACAAGUUCAAGAAAAAUCAUUUGCUGUGUUGGUUUUCUACAAAGGAGGCAUGUGAUCAUGUUUCACUUUUCAUGAUUGUCUUCCAAAGAAUUUUGAGAGUCCUUUCGUGGACAGCAAGGCAUUAUGGUCGGAAGUAAAUUAGAAUAUUAUCAGACAAAAUAAGAAGUCGUAUAGACCCCUCAGACAAGAAAAGCAUAAAUUCCCAUAGUAAGCCAAUUAACUACAGUAAAGAAGAUGGAAGGAUCUUAGAAAUUAGCACUGGUAUAGUCAUAUGCUCAUACCUGGACAAGACGAACCUCAAAAGCGGGCCUGUUGGCAGGAUCGCACGCCUGCUGCAGCAACCUCUUGUGCAUCAAGACAUCUUCUGCUCUCUCUACAUUUACAUCCAAUGCAUAUCUAACCAAGAAUCACAAACAAGAUAUUCAUCAAGGAACCCAGUAAGACAAUCAUAUCAUUGUAUCGUCACAGAUCUACAUAUAACCCAGGCCACAAGCCAGAAGGAAAAAAAAUUAAAAUAUAGCAAUAAGAUAGACAACACUUCAAGAAAGUCGCUCGCUCCACGAAUAGAAGUUACCCAGUUCUGUUAAUUGAACACUUUACCACACAUAGCUACAAGCUAGAUAGAGACAUAAAGUGGCAAACAGUAACUUCAAGAAAAAUCACCGAAUGGCUUGAUCCAUAGGCUAACAUUAGGCAGGUUAUGAACCGAUAAAAAAAAGGAAUCCUAAACCAACAGAUUCAAGAAAGCCUUUAUUGAAUAAGAAAUCUAGCAGAGGAAGUUAUUCGCGAUCGCGGAUGAUAUUCACACCGAAAAAGGAAACGGAAAACAACGAACAACACAUUAGAGGAAGAGAUUAUCGCCUCGUGAUCAAGCCCACGGUCUAAAAUCUCGGUGACUUCGAGCCGUUCCCUACCACUGAUCAAACUAAGAAGAGACGACAAGAAGAUGACGAACGUUUCGAAACCGAAAACAAGAACUAUCAUGCAAGAACUAACGAAUAAAAAAAGGAGAUCGAGACCUGGGAGGGAGGCGGUCGAAGUGCGCCAAGAGCUCGCCGUCGAAGGCCGGCGAAAGCGCUUCGGGACACCCGGAGCUCUUGAGGCGGCGGAGCACCUCGUUGUAGACCUCCACCUUCCGCCGCCGCCCGCGGUGGCGCGACGGCGAUCCCUCCCGGGCGCCGGAGCUCCCCGCGCCCUCCGUCGCCAUCCAAGGACCUCCGAUCAAACCCUAAUCCAAUGCGAAAGCAAAAAAAAACCGAAAUGAACGAAGAGGAGAACGAGAAUAAGCCGCUCCACCGCCCUCUCGGAUCCUUCACGAGCUCUACCUCGCCUUCUCGAUCUCCUCGUCCUCGCGAUCGAGGCGUGAUUGGACAGGCUAGGGUUUCGAGCUCCGCGUGGAGAGAGGAGCGGGGGAGACGAGAGAGAUAGGGAAGAGGAGUUUGGUAGGAACGCGAAGAAGAAAACGAAGAGACGAGAAGGAGAAGAAGAGAGAUACGAGCCCGGGGAGAGAGGAAACAAAAAAGAGGUGGGCCGGAGGAUGAGACGAGGAGAAGGGAAGCAGCGAGCCAACUUGGUUUUACGAAGUGUUGUCCGUUACUUUAUUAUUUAUAGGAAUGGAGGAGCAAUGGUGCCUUAGAGGUGAAUAUGAUAUUAGAAAUUAUUAAAGAGUUAAUGUAUGUAAUAAUAAUAAUAAUAUUAUUAUUAUAUUAUUAUAUCAUUAUUUAUGGGUUCAGCAUAUAUGGUUAAAUGAAUCUGGACAUUCCAGCUGUUUACGUGCGGUGAGAUUAGUAAUCAAGUUCAAAAUUUGAGGGAAUUGAACAAAUUUAACGCCGAUAAGUUUAUAAAUCUCACUAAUUAUAUGUAAAGAUAAAUGUAAAUUGGCAAUUUUAGCUUCGUCCCCCGACUAGUACUAUAGUUCAUCUAGUUGUGGUUCGUGGUUGAAAAACGAACAACAGUUUGUAACAAAUGGAAUGGAGGCUCCAUUUCAAAAUAGCCAGUUGUCGAGGGGUUAUCCACUUGUUUUUAUUUCAGAUCCUAUCUAAAACUUCCAACCAAUAGAUCUGCCGCCCAGCAGAAAGACAUAACCCGUUAACAAACCUAUACUUUUGUCCAAAUCACCAGUAUAGUCGGAAUCUACAAAUUCCUUCACUUUACCAUAACCGAAAUUUUUUGAGUAGAGGAUACAUUUAUUUGAUAUCUCUUUCAAAUACCGCAAAAUUCACUUCACGACCUCCAAGUGCUAUUUUUUUGGAUUCGAUAUAUAUUGACUAAUAACAGUAACUGCAUGUAAAAAAUCAGACCUAAUACAAAGUAUAGCAUAUAUCAGGCAACCGACUGCGCUAGCGAAUAAAUGUAUAAAUAUCUCAUUCAGUAUAUUUUCUAAUUCAUUUGAGAAACGAAGUAGUUCGGUAGCUACUUCGUUUUCUAUAACUAUAAACUAUAAACCCAUCCCCGUGGGAAUAUUUUUUUUCCGACUCAACCACGGUUUAUUACUUCACCCGUGUUGCCUAGUUCAUAUUUUCACUGAAUGAAGCAGAUAGCAUGCUACCUUUUUCCGUAAAAAAAAAAAAAAUUCAAUGAGCAAAAAUUAAAUUCUUGAUUAUAACCAGAGAAGAAAUUUUUUUAUUAUUAUAUAAAUUAUUUUUGGAUAGCUUAUUCCAACGUUCAAAUAGAGCUUGAGAUUUCAUGGGUUAUUUGGAUGUCAGAAUAAGUUAUCUUAAUAUGAACAAAAAUUUUUUUAGUAUGAUAGUAAGUAAAAAGUUUAAUUCUCUCCAUCUUUAAAGAUCUUGCUAUUCAUAAUUUUGUAGAAUAGUUUAUUUCACCUACAAUGUAAUUUAUUUCAUUCGGAAAAAAAUAACUUGAAGUCUAAAUAUGAUAUUUCAUUUUAAAUAUUUAAUUCACUCUUUAUCAACCAAAUGUACAAAAUUUUUAAAUAAAUUAAGAAAAUAUAUCUAACAAGGUAUUACUAUAUCCAAACUGGGUCUAUUUGUUUUUAUUUAUUUAUGCCUUUACACAUUUUUUUGGAUGCCUGAAUAAAAUACCCAAUCAUUUCUUAUUUGAUUUGAAGAUUUUUUGUGUGAUUGGAAGUUAAAAGUUUAAAUUUUCUGUUAAGAAGGUCUUGACAUUUAUAAUUUAAUAGGGUAGCAUAUUUUGUAUACAAAAUAAUUUAUCUUAUUAUAAAAAAUUAAUUUUAAGGUUAAAUAUGAUAUCCAUUUUAGGCAUUUAAUCAUACUCCUUAUUAACUAAAUACUAUAUAUUUUUAAAAUAAAUUUAAAAUUAUAUAUAAGAUAAGAUGUUAUGUAUCUAAACAAAGGCCUUUGUUUUUUGAUUCAUAAUUUUCAUGAAACAAAAAAAAUCUUCUAUGCUGCUCUAUCAAGUAUUGAUGCCAUAUGCUUUUCUUAUAUUUUUUAAAAAAAGAUAAUCAGGCAUGCGCGAAAAUACAAGAACAUAAUUAAAUAUAUAACAAAUUUCAACAUAUAUUUGGUAAUGUUUUUUGUGGGGAAUGUUUGAGAGAUAGUGGGGAGUUAGACCUAGUUUGAUAACGUGAUAGAUAAAAAUAUAUCUAUUUUAUAUUCUAAAAGGUUCAAGAUUCUAAAUUAUUUUAAAUUAUUUUUUUUGAUGUUAUAAAAUUGCAAUAACAACAACCACCGAAAAGGCAUAAAAUGUUGAAAGGUUAAAAGUGCUUUAAAAUUUUUGGACUAUCUAAAAUACAAAAUAAGUAUUUUUAGCCACUACAUUAUAGGUCUUAAAAUACAAACACUUAAUUACCAAAUAUAUAGUUUGGGGAAGAAGAGGCAAUAUAGUACUUCAUUAGGCUUUAAGAAUCUGGAAUGUCCUAGUUUCUUAUCAGAGGGACUGUUUGGAUGUACAGUAAAAAAUCUCUACGAAGUUUAUAGAAAUUUAUAAACCACUGUGGUUUUGGUCUAAAUGAAAUAGGGAAUUCUGUAACUCUAAAAAAUUCCACGGAUUCAAUUUUCAAACUGUUUGGACGCGCAUUAUGUAAUUUCACAGGAUUUCUUUAAAUUUUAAAAAUAAAAGUUAAAAUUUAAAAUUUAAAAUUUCAAUAAAAAUUUAAAAUUUAAAAUUUGAUAUGUGAAAUUUUAAAUUUUAAAUUUUAAAUUUUAAAUUUUAAAAUUUAAAAUUUUAAAAUAAAAAAUUUAAAAUUUAAAAUUUAAAAUAUAAAAAUCUAAAUUUAAUUUUUAAAUUUUAAAAUUUAAAAUUUUAAAAUAUAAAAUUUAAAAUUUAAAAUUUAAAAUUUAAAAUUUGAAAUUUAAAAUUUAAAAUUUAAAAUUUAGAAUUUAAAAUUUAAAAUUUAAAAUUUAAAAACUAAAUUUGAAAUUUGAAAUUUGAACUAUGAGAUUUGAGAUUUGAAAUUUAAAAUUUGAAAUUUAAAAUUUAAAAUAAAAUUUUAAAUUUUACAUUUUAAAUUUAAAAGUUAAAUUUGAAAAUUGAAAAUUGAGAAUUAAAAUUUGAAAUUAUAAAUUAUAAAAUUUAAAAUUGAAAUUUAUUGUUUGAAAACUAAAAUUUAAAAUUUGAAUUUAUAAAAUUAGAAAAUUUGAAAUUUAAAAUUUGACAUUUAGAUUUUGAAAUUAUAAAAUUUAAAUUUUUGAUAUUUAAAACUUAAAAUUCUAAUUUUAAAAUUAAAAAUUAAAAAUUUGAAUAUAAAUUAAAUUAUAAAAUUAAAAAUUUAAAAUCUAUGUUGAAAUUUAAAAGUUAAAACUUGAAGCAUUUUUGGAAUAAUGGAGCCCAAGAAUGGCGGAAUUCUUUUUCUUUAGUUAGAGUGGAUUAUAAUUUUACUUCAUUUUAUGGAGUAUAGUUUAACUAUAUUUCAAAAAUUAUGUUACUUUUUUUUUUUCUCCCAAACGCUUUAUAGGAUAAUUUUCCUACCAGUAUAGCAUAAUUUAACUAUACAAUAUUUUCAAAGGUAUCCAAAGGGGGCCUUAAUCUUAGCUCAAGGAGAACCAAGGAUAAAAAAUCAGGUACAUAUUCCAAAUUUACAACAUCAUUCAAUCCUGAUAAAGGGGCUUAAGAAUCAUACAAUUAAUUAGUUUCAUCCAGCAGGAUUCCAUUGGAUUAUUCAAAAGUCAUUUACUUUAGAAUAUGCUGUUUCAAUCUUAGUAGCAUAGCUUAGAUCUACUUAAUUAAUAUAGCCUGGAAUAUGCUUUUCUGAAUAACAACAUAAGGAGAGUGUGGUUAUAUUACAGAAAGUGGUGUGUACGUACGAAUGCACGCAGGUUGUUCGAUUAUCCAAUCUGUUGUAUAACUUUUGUUGCAGGCUAUUUAUAUUGCAGUGUUAAUUUGUUUUAGGCUGUCAAAUGAGUUAGCAGCUUUCCUCAGCUCUUUGUGUGGCCAUAUUUAUAUUGCUAUUUAUAUAUGUAUUUUUUUAGCUUUCAAAACAACAUGUACUAAAUAUUGAAUAUCUCAUCAUUUAAUAUUUAAGACAUGCAGAAAUAUAAAGGAAAUUAAGUAGCAUCAUGAACUAUUUACUUUAAGUAACAAGGAGGAUUACUUUGGUAAAUAUUUUUGACUAAUGAAGUCGAUCCAAAGCUAAAGCUAGCUUAUAGUACUACUAGACAUGUAUUAAUUAACAUAUAUACAACAUGCCAAAAAGCCUACCACUAUAACGUACGGAUAGUAAUGCAUGCACAUGCUAACCCCCGCCAAUAUUUAACCCUUAGUUUUAAUCACAACUAUCCGGUAAUAAAAAUAGAUGAAAAAUAAAGCAUGGUAAUUAAAUUUCUCCUCAAAAAAAAAAGGAAAAAAAAAGUCAUUAGAUGAGUAAAUGUUGAAGUAGGAUUAUCCUUCAGAAAUGAAGGCCAAAUCUAAUUAAAUCGUUAUCCAAACCGCUAUCAAAAUGGCUCAUUUUGUAAUACUUCUAAUACUUCUACCUCUGCCUUUCGGUCGCUUGGCCGUUGCCUCCCCUUUUGUAAUUGUUCUUAUUCCGUUUCGCUUUUCCACUUUUACUCACUUUGUUUUCGCUUGUUGUUCUUCUCCUUUGUCUUUUUUCUCUUUAGGAGGUUCUCGCUGUACUCCACCUUGUAAGUUUAAUUCAUUUUCCUAAUAAAUGAAGUAGAUAGCUUGCUACCUUUCUCUCUCUCUCUCUCUAAAAAAAAAAAAAGCUCAUAACGAAGAGACAAGUGCAUGCACAAUCAAAUAGGGUCCACAUUCAACAAUUAUUUUCUAGAUUAAGUUUAAUAUGUGUAGCAUUUAAAUGCAAAAUGUCGUGUUCGAAUAUACAUGUAGGAUGACAUAUAGACCACCAUAACGUUUUAUUAUGACCAUAUAUGCGUGCUAUUACACAUCAAACUUGGGCUAGGUUGCGCGCGCGCGCGCGUUGGCGCGUGUGUCUGUGUGUGCGCGCGCGUGUGCGCUUGUGCAUGCGCGUGUGUAGAUAUAUAGAGUACGUAGGUCUUGUAUGCUAUUAGGAGUACAGAGGUUUUGAAUCGUUUUCGAUGAUAAAAUUUGCAAAUCGAUAAUUGGUUCCAUUAAACUUGAUUUAUCAUAUUUGAAGUAUCUAAAAAAUAAAUUUUGUGAUUUUUUAACAUUAUUUAUCUAGCGAUCGAAAAGGUUCAAACUCACCGACUCUUCCUAGCGCAAAUGGCAAAGGGCUUAGUGGUCCCAAGUUCGAAUCCUAAUUGAUUCACAUUAUCACAUUUCCAGCUAAGUUUAUUUCUAAAUGAAAUAAAUAAAGCGGGUAGCACGCUACCUUUCUCUCAAAAAAAAAAGAAAAUAAAAAUCUCAUAAAAAGUAGUGAUAUAACAUUAAAAUUUUCGAUCGAAAUUAUUGAUCUUGCAGUAAAUAGUAUAAAAAUUUUUCUAUCAAAAUUUCAUCUGAUUUGAAUAUUUUUACACCGUUAAACUUGCAAACGAUAUAUAUCAAUAAUUAAAAAUUAUUGAUUUUGACCCCUUUCGAUCGUUAGGUAAAUGAUAUUGAAAAUCGCAAAAUUUAUUUUCUAGAUACUUCAAAUAUGCUAGAUCAAAUCUAACGAAACCGAUCGCCGAUUCAAAAGUUCCAUCAUCGAAAACGGCUUAUCAGCACAGAGCCUUUCGAUCUCCUAAUUGCACACAAAACCUACUCUCUCUCUAUAUAUAUAAUUAAUAUAGUAGUCGGACUAUAUAGAAUUAUACUAUUAUACUAUCGAUAGUAUAUAUAAGUGCUUGAUGUUAUCAAGUUUCCGACUGUUGAAUGAAAAGAUGUGCGGUUAAGAUGAUAAAGGUCCCCUAAAGUUAAGUGGGUGGUUGGUUGAAUAGUAUAAUUAAUCUAACGAAUAGAAAUGAUUAAAGGAUAAAUCUAAUGAUAGAAAACUCGAUAAUACCAAAAAAUUUGGUAUUAUCGAUAGUGUAGUAAUCUCUCUCUCUCUCUCUCUCUCUCUCUCUCUCUCUAUAUAUAUAUAUAUAUAUAUAUAUAUAUAUAUAUAUAUAUAUAUAUAUAUUCUCAGAAUAUGCGACUUCUCUUGAGCUCCUACAAUAAUAUUAAAGUGGUACUAUGGAUAAGGUUAUUUAAACAGUAGCUCUUAUAUCUAGGAGUAGAUAGAAGUAACGUUGGGAGAAUAUAUUAGUUGGCUACUAAUUUUUUAGAAAACAUGGUGGAGGAUACGAUGAAGAAUAUGCCAACAAACGCUGAGAAAUUUAAAGGAUAUGCUUGAUAAAUUAAAAGUCAUAAUGCAUAGUAAAAUAUGGAAAUAUUAAAACAUAGUGAUCCAUGGAUGGCGGGAGCGCGCACAUCGGAAUGUAGGUAAUGUUACAGUAAGGGAUUCUUUACAUAUCAGACCAAGUUAUUCAAAAUUACCUUAUUAUUUUUGCAUGAUGACAAUGGGAGCGUCACUUCCAUGAUUAUUCAUUAAGAUUAGCAGCUUGAGUUUUGCAUGUAUGCAUGCAUGGCAACCAGUUACAUAAAUGAUGAGAAAUCCCACUUUCCUUCCAUCUAUGCUUAGGCUAGUUGUUCCUUCUUUCUUUCUUCCUUAAAAAAAUCUGGAACGUGAGCAGAAAAUGGACUGAAUUUUACAGCUCUUAAGGACUUGAUUUUUAGUGAGGAGUAGAAUUAGUAAUUUUUCUACGAUUUUUUUNCAAUUGGGUCUUCUCUUACUAGAGUUCUUGAGUUUAGCAAUUUUAUUUUUUGGAGAGAUAGAUAGCACGCUACCCGUUUUAUUUAUUUUAUUUAGAAAUAAAUUUAGUUAGAAAUAUGAAUCAAUUAAAAUUCGAACUUAGGAACUCGGGUACCAACGACCAAACUCGGCCCUUUGCCACUUACUCUAGGGACAGUAGAAAUUUUUAGAGAGAAGAUUAUGACAGAGACUAUAUAUAUGUUUUCAUAGAAAAACUUCUCUUACGAUGAGUUUUGAGUGAGGAGCAGAAUUAGUAAUUUUUCUACGAUUUUUCUUCUUUGCCUUUUGUUUUGUCCUUUUGGUUUGAUUGCCUUCAAUAGUUUUCGAGACCGUGUUGUCUCAAUCCAUGUAGUAAAAUUUAUUUGCUAAAUGAAUAAAGCGGAUAUUAUAUUACCUUUUUCUCUCUCUCUCAAAAAAAAGAUGAGUUUGACACUUAAUUGAGGCGGAACGUGAUAAAUAAUUAUUGACAAAAAUUAUGGCAGAGAUUAUAUGUUAUCAUAGUUUCAAGCUGAAGUGGUUAAUUUGGGUUUUGAAGUUUGGCUUUAACUCACCUGUUGAGCUUCGAUUUUUCACCCUAAAAUUCGGCCUAAUUUGCAUUUAAUAUCCACCCAACGUUUGACCUUGAUUUCAGACCUGUCCGCGAAGUUUUAACUCAAACAAUUAAAUAUUUAUCUUAUGCUAAUAUGCCAGUUAGCUUUCUUUUGCCAACUAUUUAGGUUGGAAAUGUGAGAGAGAAAACGUGGGUAGUUUUUUAUAUUUAUAGAAGAUAAAAGAAGAAUAAAAGAGGUUCAGAAAGAGAUUUGAGUUGAAACUACUUUAUGUAUAAGAAGAGUCGGAUGUAAUCUUAUUUCCAGUGCAUAGUAAAAGAGUCAGGUGUAAUCUUAUUUUGAUUAAUGAAUCUUAUUUUAUUUAUAUUUUGCAUAGUAAAAGAGUCAGGUGUAAUCUUAUUUUGAUUAAUGAAUCUUAUUUUAUUUAUAUUUUUCGUUUAUUUUUUUUUCUUUUGUGAUUGUGUCAUUCAAUUGCUGAAAAGGCGAGUUUAUAAUAAAAAUUCUAAUAAUCAAUGCUGCACCAAGUACUGAACAGGUAAUGAGGUGAGAAUAACAAUAAAUUAUUUUUCAACAUUUUUUUAAAAGAGAAAGGUAGUAUAUAACUAUUUUGUUCAUUUUUCUGUGUAGUAAUGAACUUAGCUGUAAAUAUAAAAUAAUUUCAAAUACCAAUCAUCGAACUUUUUAUUAUAUUAUUUACGCUAGAGCCUAUCGGCUAUUUUUCGGCAGAACUAAAAGCAACAAAUUGAAGAUACGGUAUUCAAAAUUCAUGAUCUCAUUCAUGUAGUCUACUAACUUUUGCUUGGCGAAAAACAAAAAGUAGGAGGAUGAGCGGGGGCAAAUUAAUAAGCCCUAACAUAAUAACCUGAUAAAGAGAAAGUGGCUUUUCGACACCUUGAAGAGCCGGGGCCAUUUUAUAGAGUAGGGACCAUCGCAAACCAGAUAACGUUCAUAUUCGUAUUCCUAACGUUCUUAUACUGGGACCGUUAGAUUACUUCUCUCGUUCUCCUCUUUUUUCUCUCACUCGAGUGGGAUGUCACCUAACCAAUAACACGUGGCCACGUUGACGCUGACUUGGCUCAUCAGUCGAUUUGUGGUGAAAUACGCUCGAAAAUUCUUCACAGCACACUUGAAAAAACAAACUUUGGCUGCAUGCUAGAUCAUCACUCUCUCUCUCGUACAGUUUGGUUGAUAAAUUAAAUCAUUUAUUGACUCUCCGACCGCGUCUUUGUUAAAGGAUGAUAUAUAUAUAUAUAUACAAGGAAUUCUUGAAACAGAAUCAAAGAAUUUACUCAAAAAAAUCAACAAAGGUACGCUAUCAACUUUUUUUUUGCUGAAUAAUUGCUACCAAAUGCUUUUUGCUUAAUUUCGCUUUCAUUAGGUUACCAAGUUGUCGCCAAUCUUGUUUGUUCAUUAUCCUAAUAAAUGAAGCUGAUUGAGAAUUUCAUCUUGACCAGUUAUCCGUUUCGGCGGGGUUUCUAAUGCAAAUCCCACACUCGAGCAAAUUUGAAACAAAUAUACGGACUCUAGCUGCAAAGGACACUGUUGAGGGGAAGGCAAUGUAAAAGCUAUUUACCACACUGUAACUGAGAACCAGAAUCCACUAUGAACAUGCUUUAGCAGCCCAUGGGCUACGAUUAACCACGGCCCAAUCGGUAGAUGGCUAGAGCUUCCACACCUUUGUAGCCCUCGCAUAAUAUCUUUGCCAUUUUCUCUUUCUAACUACGUAAGUUACACAGAAUAGUACAGGAGGAAAUUGUGGAAGGACAUGGCUCAAACAAAAACAUGCCGGUGCAAAUCGACAAGAGCCACGGUCCAGUGAGUGAAUGAACUUAUAUUCGUGCGCAAUAUAAUUUCCAUUUCCGUACAAGGGUUACCAAGCGAAGUACUAAUCCUUAUAGCCACGGUGGUUAUGUAAAUUUUUUUUUCGCUCUCAAAACUUACAUUAAAAAAAAAAGGCAUCGUAAACAAAUCAACUAUUCCAACAAGAGAUAAGAGUCCUUUUGUCCAUAUCCAAUUGCACAGAAUUAGCGUUAAUACAUACACAUACAUAGUUGAGCUGGAAUGCAGUCGGUAGUAAACAGGCUCCGUUGCCAUCUAUUUGUUUUCGAUGACCGAGCUUUCAAAUCGACGAUCGAUACGGUUGAAUAUGAUCUAAUCUAUAAACCAAAUUUUAAAUCUUUUCGACAUCAUUGACCUGAUAAUCAAAAAUUUUUAAAAAUUAUAAUUUUAAUGAUAGAUACGAGACGUUUUCUUAUUUAAUGGUACAAAACUAUCCAAAUUAAUUAAAUUUUGAUUAAAAAAUUCUUUAAACUAUUUAGAACAAAAUCUAUACUCUCGAUCUUAAUUACAAAAUUCCUAUCAUCACUUUUUAAAGAAUAUUUAUUUUCAGUUAUUUAUUUUUACGCCCACUUGAUAGACAAAAAAAUAAUAUCGAAAAAAUAUAAAAUUUGACUUUUAAAUACUUUUGAGUGGCGUAAAUCAAUUUCAACGGUGCCAAUUGUCGAUUUGAAAGUUUCAUCAUCGAAAAUAAAUGAAUGACAACAAAACUCGUUUGCUAUCGAUAUUAUUCCACUUCAACUUUAUAUAUAUAUAUAGAGAGAGAGAGAGAGAGACUUAACUUACAGCGGACCGACCAAAGACGCGACCAAACCCAAGAGCAAACGCAAGAGCAACAGGCCCGAACCCAGAUUCCAAGCCACCAACUUAAGCAUACAGUACGCAAAAAAUUGUUUGGAAAUGAAACAUGUACCAGCAAGAUCACCAAAUGCUAGUUCAGGAGUCUGCCCCCACCCCACAAAACACACACACACACACACACACACACACACACACACACACAAAACAAAUUCACAGCAAGCAAUAAAGGAUUACAAAGCCGCAAAUCUUACCAUACAUGCAUCACCGCUCCAUGUCAUAAUCGUCAUCACUUCUGUACUCACCUUCAAGAAGCCACUGCUCGAGUUCAUCCACCUCAUCCUCCUCAAUCUCAUGCCUAUACCAUCCAAGUGACGAAUCCCAAUACACAGCCCCCAGCUCCUCACCACGGCAAGCCAUGUGCAGGAAAGGCCGACUCCUAGCUAGGGCAUCUACCAUGUCCCUGUUCAAGCUCCCUGUCACCCCGAGCCACCUCAACCGUGGGAAGUAUGGCUUCUUAAACCAUCGGAAAGAAAGCGGCGUGAUACCUCCACAGUCAUAUAGAUCUAGCAAGUGCAAGCUACUCCCGUGAGACCCGCCCUCGACUUGCAUUGAAGCUAAGGCCAUGACCGAAGUGUCCCCUAUGUGCGCACACUCUCUAAUUCGGAGCUCAACAAUUGGAAUUCGACUUCUCGCUAGCCGUAAGAUACCAUUGUCGGUGAGAUUAGGAAGCUUCGAUAUAUCCAAUACUUGCAGACUCAAUCUUGUGGAACCACCCAAUAGCAAUGUGAUACCAUCGUCUGUCAGUCUUCUGCACCCUCUUAGAGACAACGAAACCAGCGGGCAUUUCCCGCUACCAAGAUAAGAUAACCCUAUAUUAGUGAUGUCCAUAUUGUCUAGUAGUAGUACCUGCAACUUUGGGAGGCAGCUUAGGGCUCUUAAAGCCACAUCACCCACCUUUCGGCAGUCUCUUAGGUCCAAUACAUUCAGAUCUUUAUUACAUGACAACCCUAAAAUCCCAUGAUUGGUUAAGAGAUUACACCACCUCAAGCUAACAUGUGUUAAAGAAAGAGAGGUGGCAGAGAUGUCAUGGAAAACCAGAUCAGUCAGCUGGCUUCCGUGGGACACCCUAAGCUUGCGAAGGCUCGAGCAUGAGUGUAUUAUCGCCCUGAGACCAGUAUCUGUAACACGAGAGAAGCCACCAAGAGAAAUACUUUCGAGUUUCGAGCAGGUAUCAGCCAUCAAGAGAAUUCCAAGAUCAUUUACUCGUCGAAAGUAGGUGAAUAAGAACUCUUGGCUUCGGACAAGAGAAAUGUGCUUCAGUUUACCACGUGGAUUGAUUUGCUGAAGGCCUGCAUUGGUGAGAUCGGAAGAUGAUAUGGGUUCUAUGAUAGGAGCAUCCUGAAGAUCCAAAUGUGUUAAGGCCGGAAGGGCCUUUGAUAUAGAACUGACCAACUGAUCUGUGAUGUAGUCUACCGAGAGGCAUAGCUUUUGAAGGCUAGGAAAGAAUGGCGGUAUAGUACGACCUAGAGAGUGCUGUGACUCAGCCGUUAUACUCAAGAGUUUGACCAACAUGGAUAUAGGGAUGUAACCAAUCUCAAGAGAAGAAAGUCUCUGAGAGGCAGAAGCCCAUGCUUGCCCAAAUUUAGUAUCGUCGAAUGAUGAAGCAUCAACUGCUAAGCUCAAAGACUAGCAAAAGUAGAGAAUACAUAUCAGAGUGAUGGUAGGGAAUCCUGAUCAUAACAAAGGAAUAGUCACAGCAGUAAUAAGCUACAAGAAGUAGGAAAAACAUGCAUCAAGAUUUAACAAGAAUACACUGUAGCUAACUGAGGUGUUUAAAGCGAACUCUAUUAUAUUACAAAAUGCACUAUGUAAAACUUAGGCAUUUAUACUAAAUAAUAUAAAUAAUUCAGAAGCAUAAAACACAGGGGACCUAAGUUUCUAGACAGUUGCAUACAUAGGCACUUCGGUAAAGAAUAUUAUACCAAGGUAACUAAGGAAGCUACUAAUUUGGGCACAUCCAUGUCAUUAUGAUCCAUUAUCCGGGCCCAUCUAAUACUAAUUCACAAUUUCAUGCAACACUCGUAAUUCAGAAAGCUAAUGCUAUAAUGUAGGAAGGCGUGUGUGGACUAGGGCCUAAGCAGCUUGGAGAGACCAUAGAUGGACAUAGCGAGCAUUUUUCUCUAAAACCAAUGGCCGCACAGUAAAAUGUGGAAGAAGGCAUGCAAUGAAAGUUGUACAAAGCCUCUAAUGUAAAAGAAAGAGCUACUAUUCCACGGGACUCAUUUGACCUACCAGCCACAUAGGAAAGUAUAGAUCAAGAAAUUCUUUCACCAAAGUCAAGUAUCGGUCUGCAGAUACAGAUAUGAACACAUACAUGUAUACAUGAAACAAAUAGUAUUGCAUAGAACCAAAUAUUCAUUUCAACACUAUAAAGAAGGUUCUCGUAUCGAUCAUAAUCUAUCUCAAGAAGGGCAUAUCUUUCUAGUUGAAAAGACACUUAAGCUUCUAGACAGAAAAUAAAGACGAUAGAGUUAAAUACUAUUAAGCAGAUACUUCUAAUAACUAUGAACAAUUGCACUAUCUCUAAUACAUUAAUGAAAACAUAUUCUUACAUACCUCCAGCUGGGAACAGCCAUUAAGCAGUUCUUCUAGAUCAGAAAAGCAGAUUGAGAUCCCUCUGCGCUCCGCAAGAGAGUUUACAGAAAGUGUCCUGAUGUUUGAUCAAGCAAAAAGAAAGUAUCAAUAUAGACGAACCAGAACGUUGUUUUCCUCCAAAAAAAGCCGAAAAGACAAUUAUGAUGAAAAGAUUAUUUUCUAAGGGUCACCGUUCUGUUAUACUUCAGAUAAAAGUGUACAAUAUUAAAGGACUAUUCUUUAUUCUUCGCCCCUAUAAAGAGAAGAUUACCUCCACCACUAUGCAUUACACACAACUGUACAAGAUGAGAUCCAUGCACAUAUUGCUUAGUUGCAUGUAAUUCGUCAUGAUGCUGAUUGGUGGAGGAGAUAUCCUCUGCAUUAUAUAAAGGUCGAGGUUUCAUUUUAUAUCCAAUAUGGGAACUAUUAUUCUUGAUAUUACUAACAUCUAGCAGGCCCUUUUUGAGUAAGUAUGGUGGAGUCGGAAUUACAUUAAGAGGCCUUCUCAAUACUUAAUUUACACUCAAAAUAGUCGAAACUUAGGGUGCAUAUGACACUUCAAGUUUCUGCUGCAAUUAUUUACAUUUCAUACAACCGAGAACUAUAGAUCGCAGCAAAGCAAGUCACCGAUAAAAAGAAUUUAAGAAUUCAACAUUGGAUUUAUCGUCACCUGAUAUCGCGGCACUUGUUUCCGAGUUCGGCGAGAAGCCUCCCGCUGAUGUUCUCGCAGUUAAGGAGGCAGAUCUCGUGGAGCGACGGCCUCGCGAGGUACCCAAUCGACGAGUCGUCGAGGCGGCUACAGUCGAGGCGGAGGCUCCGGAGGUACGGAUUCGGCGGGAGAAGCGGCCUCAGCAGGUCCAGCGUGGGCGCGAUCUCCUGAAACCCUAACCCUAAUUUAGCCCCCCACAAAAAAAGGCCGAAUCGCCUAGUAAGCAUGGGAAAUCGAAGGACCGAGAACGUACAAGGAGGUGGACGGAGGGAAGGAAGGAGAGGGUGUGGGAGGCGCAGGCGCGGAGGGAGCGGCACGCGGCGGCGGCGGUGACGAGGGAGCGCACGUCGAGCUUGGAGAGGAUCGUCGCCAUUACGGUGGAGGGGAGGUAGUGCUCGAUCUCCGGGGGCGAAGGAUCUCCUCCUCCUCCGCCGCCGCCGCCACCGCUUCGCCGGAGCAUCGCAACGCCUCCUUGGGAUUCCCCGACCAUUGUUAGUGCGCGCGAUAGAGAGAGAGGGGAAGUAGGGAGAUGAAAGGGAGUUAUUAAUUAGGAGGUGACAUCGUCAUUGUGACUGUUGCUGCUUCCGCGAAGCUUCGCGUUUGCUUUUUUUUGGCGCUGGUGCUAGGGCUAGCAAAUGAGCGGCCGACUCGCGUUCGGCUCGGCUUGCCGAGCUCGACCAAAAAUUAAACGAGCCGAGCUUGAACAAAUGAGAAAGCUUGAAAUUUAUUUUAAGUCUACCUUGAGUAUUAGUCCACUAACUCAAAUUAAGCUCAAAAAAACUCUAUAAUAUAUAUAUGGCCAAUUUGCAUAAAAAAUCCACUAGUUUUGGGCUUUUGCAAAACCGGGCCACCUUUUUCGUUUUUGCAGAUUCGGUCCACUUUUUUAGCAACCUGACCAAAAUACCCUUGUACCUUUUUCUCUCUCCUCUUUUUUUUCUCUCGUUCUUUUUUUUUUUUCUUUUACAGGAGAGCGGCGAAGGCAGAAACGCCACACCCCCUGCCCCGGCGACGUCGCCCUCGCCCGCUCCGGCGACGNNNNNNNNNNNNNNNNNNNNNNNNNNNNNNNNNNNNNNNNNNNNNNNNNNNNNNNNNNNNNNNNNNNNNNNNNNNNNNNNNNNNNNNNNNNNNNNNNNNNNNNNNNNNNNNNNNNNNNNNNNNNNNNNNNNNNNNNNNNNNNNNNNNNNNNNNNNNNNNNNNNNNNNNNNNNNNNNNNNNNNNNNNNNNNNNNNNNNNNNNNNNNNNNNNNNNNNNNNNNNNNNNNNNNNNNNNNNNNNNNNNNNNNNNNNNNNNNNNNNNNNNNNNNNNNNNNNNNNNNNNNNNNNNNNNNNNNNNNNNNNNNNNNNNNNNNNNNNNNNNNNNNNNNNNNNNNNNNNNNNNNNNNNNNNNNNNNNNNNNNNNNNNNNNNNNNNNNNNNNNNNNNNNNNNNNNNNNNNNNNNNNNNNNNNNNNNNNNNNNNNNNNNNNNNNNNNNNNNNNNNNNNNNNNNNNNNNNNNNNNNNNNNNNNNNNNNNNNNNNNNNNNNNNNNNNNNNNNNNNNNNNNNNNNNNNNNNNNNNNNNNNNNNNNNNNNNNNNNNNNNNNNNNNNNNNNNNNNNNNNNNNNNNNNNNNNNNNNNNNNNNNNNNNNNNNNNNNNNNNNNNNNNNNNNNNNNNNNNNNNNNNNNNNNNNNNNNNNNNNNNNNNNNNNNNNNNNNNNNNNNNNNNNNNNNNNNNNNNNNNNNNNNNNNNNNNNNNNNNNNNNNNNNNNNNNNNNNNNNNNNNNNNNNNNNNNNNNNNNNNNNNNNNNNNNNNNNNNNNNNNNNNNNNNNNNNNNNNNNNNNNNNNNNNNNNNNNNNNNNNNNNNNNNNNNNNNNNNNNNNNNNNNNNNNNNNNNNNNNNNNNNNNNNNNNNNNNNNNNNNNNNNNNNNNNNNNNNNNNNNNNNNNNNNNNNNNNNNNNNNNNNNNNNNNNNNNNNNNNNNNNNNNNNNNNNNNNNNNNNNNNNNNNNNNNNNNNNNNNNNNNNNNNNNNNNNNNNNNNNNNNNNNNNNNNNNNNNNNNNNNNNNNNNNNNNNNNNNNNNNNNNNNNNNNNNNNNNNNNNNNNNNNNNNNNNNNNNNNNNNNNNNNNNNNNNNNNNNNNNNNNNNNNNNNNNNNNNNNNGCAGCGGCGACGGGCGAUGGUGUAAUGGUGCACCAUUACACCAUUAAUGGUGUAAUGGUGUAAUUACACCAUUAAUGGUGGCAGCGAAGAGCCGGGCCAGAGGGACGACGCGGUUGAUGAGGUAUCGACGAGGCACGGCAGAGCAGGCCCGGUCGGCGCUGACGGCGAGCGUGAAGCGGGCGAGCUCCCGGGGCUGCGGCGGACGGCGGCGAGGUAGCAAUUUCCUGUAGGAUGAAGAAAAAGAAGAAGAGGAGGAAAAAGAAAAAGAAAAGAAAAGAAAAGAAGAAGAAGAAGAGGGAAAAAAAAAGGUGCUCCAACAGGAGGAUAAAGAAGAAGAAAAAGAAAAAGAGAAGAAAAUAUUGCUAGGAUGAAGAAGAACAAGAAGAGGAGGAAAAAGAAAAAGAAAAAGAAAAGAAAAGAAAAGAAAAGAAAAGAAGAAGAAGAAGAAGAGGGAAAAAAACAAAGGUGCUCCAGCAGGAGGAAGAAGAAGAAGAAAAAAAAAGAGAAGAAAAAAUUGCUCCGCCUGGCCUUCACCUUUUUUUUCCGGCGGAAAAAAAAAAGAACGAGAGAACGAAGAGGAGAGAGAAAGAGGAAAGAGAAAAAGUAAUAAGGGUAUUUUGGUCAGUUUGCUGAAAAAGCGGACCGAAUCUGCAAAAACGAAAAAGGUGACCUGAUUUUGCAAAAGUUCAAAAUAAGUGGAUUUUUUAUGCAAAUUGGCCUAUAUAUAUAUAUAUAUAUAUAUAUANNNNNNNNNNNNNNNNNNNNNNNNNNNNNNNNNNNNNNNNNNNNNNNNNNNNNNNNNNNNNNNNNNNNNNNNNNNNNNNNNNNNNNNNNNNNNNNNNNNNNNNNNNNNNNNNNNNNNNNNNNNNNNNNNNNNNNNNNNNNNNNNNNNNNNNNNNNNNNNNNNNNNNNNNNNNNNNNNNNNNNNNNNNNNNNNNNNNNNNNNNNNNNNNNNNNNNNNNNNNNNNNNNNNNNNNNNNNNNNNNNNNNNNNNNNNNNNNNNNNNNNNNNNNNNNNNNNNNNNNNNNNNNNNNNNNNNNNNNNNNNNNNNNNNNNNNNNNNNNNNNNNNNNNNNNNNNNNNNNNNNNNNNNNNNNNNNNNNNNNNNNNNNNNNNNNNNNNNNNNNNNNNNNNNNNNNNNNNNNNNNNNNNNNNNNNNNNNNNNNNNNNNNNNNNNNNNNNNNNNNNNNNNNNNNNNNNNNNNNNNNNNNNNNNNNNNNNNNNNNNNNNNNNNNNNNNNNNNNNNNNNNNNNNNNNNNNNNNNNNNNNNNNNNNNNNNNNNNNNNNNNNNNNNNNNNNNNNNNNNNNNNNNNNNNNNNNNNNNNNNNNNNNNNNNNNNNNNNNNNNNNNNNNNNNNNNNNNNNNNNNNNNNNNNNNNNNNNNNNNNNNNNNNNNNNNNNNNNNNNNNNNNNNNNNNNNNNNNNNNNNNNNNNNNNNNNNNNNNNNNNNNNNNNNNNNNNNNNNNNNNNNNNNNNNNNNNNNNNNNNNNNNNNNNNNNNNNNNNNNNNNNNNNNNNNNNNNNNNNNNNNNNNNNNNNNNNNNNNNNNNNNNNNNNNNNNNNNNNNNNNNNNNNNNNNNNNNNNNNNNNNNNNNNNNNNNNNNNNNNNNNNNNNNNNNNNNNNNNNNNNNNNNNNNNNNNNNNNNNNNNNNNNNNNNNNNNNNNNNNNNNNNNNNNNNNNNNNNNNNNNNNNNNNNNNNNNNNNNNNNNNNNNNNNNNNNNNNNNNNNNNNNNNNNNNNNNNNNNNNNNNNNNNNNNNNNNNNNNNNNNNNNNNNNNNNNNNNNNNNNNNNNNNNNNNNNNNNNNNNNNNNNNNNNNNNNNNNNNNNNNNNNNNNNNNNNNNNNNNNNNNNNNNNNNNNNNNNNNNNNNNNNNNNNNNNNNNNNNNNNNNNNNNNNNNNNNNNNNNNNNNNNNNNNNNNNNNNNNNNNNNNNNNNNNNNNNNNNNNNNNNNNNNNNNNNNNNNNNNNNNNNNNNNNNNNNNNNNNNNNNNNNNNNNNNNNNNNNNNNNNNNNNNNNNNNNNNNNNNNNNNNNNNNNNNNNNNNNNNNNNNNNNNNNNNNNNNNNNNNNNNNNNNNNNNNNNNNNNNNNNNNNNNNNNNNNNNNNNNNNNNNNNNNNNNNNNNNNNNNNNNNNNNNNNNNNNNNNNNNNNNNNNNNNNNNNNNNNNNNNNNNNNNNNNNNNNNNNNNNNNNNNNNNNNNNNNNNNNNNNNNNNNNNNNNNNNNNNNNNNNNNNNNNNNNNNNNNNNNNNNNNNNNNNNNNNNNNNNNNNNNNNNNNNNNNNNNNNNNNNNNNNNNNNNNNNNNNNNNNNNNNNNNNNNNNNNNNNNNNNNNNNNNNNNNNNNNNNNNNNNNNNNNNNNNNNNNNNNNNNNNNNNNNNNNNNNNNNNNNNNNNNNNNNNNNNNNNNNNNNNNNNNNNNNNNNNNNNNNNNNNNNNNNNNNNNNNNNNNNNNNNNNNNNNNNNNNNNNNNNNNNNNNNNNNNNNNNNNNNNNNNNNNNNNNNNNNNNNNNNNNNNNNNNNNNNNNNNNNNNNNNNNNNNNNNNNNNNNNNNNNNNNNNNNNNNNNNNNNNNNNNNNNNNNNNNNNNNNNNNNNNNNNNNNNNNNNNNNNNNNNNNNNNNNNNNNNNNNNNNNNNNNNNNNNNNNNNNNNNNNNNNNNNNNNNNNNNNNNNNNNNNNNNNNNNNNNNNNNNNNNNNNNNNNNNNNNNNNNNNNNNNNNNNNNNNNNNNNNNNNNNNNNNNNNNNNNNNNNNNNNNNNNNNNNNNNNNNNNNNNNNNNNNNNNNNNNNNNNNNNNNNNNNNNNNNNNNNNNNNNNNNNNNNNNNNNNNNNNNNNNNNNNNNNNNNNNNNNNNNNNNNNNNNNNNNNNNNNNNNNNNNNNNNNNNNNNNNNNNNNNNNNNNNNNNNNNNNNNNNNNNNNNNNNNNNNNNNNNNNNNNNNNNNNNNNNNNNNNNNNNNNNNNNNNNNNNNNNNNNNNNNNNNNNNNNNNNNNNNNNNNNNNNNNNNNNNNNNNNNNNNNNNNNNNNNNNNNNNNNNNNNNNNNNNNNNNNNNNNNNNNNNNNNNNNNNNNNNNNNNNNNNNNNNNNNNNNNNNNNNNNNNNNNNNNNNNNNNNNNNNNNNNNNNNNNNNNNNNNNNNNNNNNNNNNNNNNNNNNNNNNNNNNNNNNNNNNNNNNNNNNNNNNNNNNNNNNNNNNNNNNNNNNNNNNNNNNNNNNNNNNNNNNNNNNNNNNNNNNNNNNNNNNNNNNNNNNNNNNNNNNNNNNNNNNNNNNNNNNNNNNNNNNNNNNNNNNNNNNNNNNNNNNNNNNNNNNNNNNNNNNNNNNNNNNNNNNNNNNNNNNNNNNNNNNNNNNNNNNNNNNNNNNNNNNNNNNNNNNNNNNNNNNNNNNNNNNNNNNNNNNCCAAUACUCAUAAUAGUAUAGUAGCCACGGCCUAUAUAUAUAUAUAUAUAUAUAUAUAUAUAUAUAUAUAUAUAUAUAAUAUUUUAAUUAUGUAUAUACUGAGUAAGUAAUCUAAGUUUAGUUAAAAUUGGACCAAUAUUGUUGGUCCAUAAAAAUAAACUUAAUAGACAAACAAAAGAACAAAAUUCAACUAAAUUUACACUUUUUCUCUUUUUUACUUUCACAAAGUUUUAAAUUUCUAAUCUCUUUUUCUCUUUCUUUUUCUCUAUCUCUCACCCCAAGUGGCCAAGCCUCAGGCUUGUGCUUGAAAAAAUAUAUAGAAUAUUUUUAAAAUAAAAAAUUAUUGUUUAUAUAAAAUUUUAAUUUUAGUUAUAUAUGAUUGGAUAGUUUAAUCCAAUAUUUGUAUAUAUAAUUUAUUUAUUUUUUGACUGUAUAAAUAAAAAGAAAUAGUAUGGAGAUUGAAAGUGGAAGAGAAAAUAUAUGAGGCUGAAAAGAUUAGAUAUUCAACACAUAAGUUAUUUUUCUUCAUAUUAUAAUACCGUAUUUCAUAUAAUUAUUUUAUACUUUGAACUAUUAGGCAUACUUUUAUAUCAAAUUAUAGAUAAUAUUUUAUAUAAAUUAAAUUAUUGAUCGUAUGAUGUUGAAAAUUUUAAGCGGCUCGUUUAGGGAUUGAGCUCGCUCGACUUCAAAUUAGGCUCACUCGAGUUUGGCUCGAAUUAAUUUCAAAUCAAGCUUGAGCUCAAAUUUAGGCUUGAAAUUAAUUUCAAGUCGAGUUUGAACCGAAAUAAGCUCGCUCGAGCUCAGCUCAUUUCCCCUAGGGGCAUGUUUGUUUUAACGUAAGUAAAUUUGGGGUGGAAGUGGACUUUGGGUUGAAGUGGAGUUGGGGUGAAAAUUAAUUCAUUUCUGCUGUUUGUUUCUAACUGUGGAAGUGCAGUUCUGCGAGUUCUGUUAUUUGUUUGGUAGGAAGUAGAUGGCGUAAAAAGUGUAGCUCUCCACCCCCGGUAUACUUACCUCCGAAGUGAUAUCAUUGUCUAUUUUGUAACUUAGUGAAUAAUAAAUUGUAAUAAAUAAAAAUUAAUAUAAUUAGAUAUGUAUAUAAUUAUAUAUAUGUAUAAUUAUAAAAUAAAAUUUUAAAAAAUUAUAUUAUUUGUUUGCAUAUAAAUUAUAAUAAUGCAACAAAUAAAAUUCUAAAGUUAAAAAAUUAUUAACAUUUAACAAAUUUAUUUUUCAUAAUUUUCUAAAUAUACAAAUUAAAUAAAAAAUAUAUUAAAAUUUACCUAACCAAAUUUGAUCAUAUUUUAGACAUGAUCAAAUUUUCUUUUGUGGUGUCUACUGAGAAAAAAAAAAAUGGUGAUGUGGAGUUGGGUCGGGACUCGGGAGAGAAAAGGGUAGAGAAGAGGGUAACCCUAACACAUUAAUUCCCACUCUUGCCUCUUUUCACCUCACCGAAAUUGACUUCGCCCCAUAGGAGGGCGAAGUCAAUUUUCUUAUUUUGUGUGAACUAGAUUUUCGGGCGUAAUAAAAUUACGGUGAACCAAACAGCGGAAGUGGUCUGUUUUCACCGAAAAUCACUUCCUCCUUCCCACUUCCAUCCCACUUCCGUUGAAACAAACAAGCCCUAGGUGGUGCUGCGGUAUCUUCGGGGUUGUUAGACCUGGACUUUCACGGACUGGGUCGUAACGGCGCGGACGGAUUGAGAUUAGAGAUUUACUUGUAUCUAGUUUGGUUCGGAUCGGAUUAAGCCGAACGUAGAAACUUCGCAACAGACCAAGAAUUGAAUCCAAUCAGAUCUCAGUGAGAAGGGAGGACCCGAAUCCAAUUCGGGGUAAAAUUACCGUUUCAUUCAUUUUUGGCAAACAUUUGGUAAGAGUCUCGACUUCCGAUGUAAUGCAUUUACAAAUUUAACAAUGUAAAAUAAUUUAAAUCUAAUAUUUUUUUUAUUUUUUAUUUUUACUAUUUAGAGUAAGAUUAGUAAAUCUAUUCUUAAAUACAAGUUUUUUAUCAUUAUUUUUUGUAAAAUUUUUAUUUUCAAUCGUUUAUUUUUAGACUACUCGUUUAAUCGAUAAAUGCUAUUGAAAAAUUAUAAAAUAUAGUUUUCAAUUAAUGUAGAUCUAGUCUAAUAAAAUCGAUCAUUGAUUUGAAAGCGUAUCAUCAAAAAUAAUUUGGUAACAAAGAGGCUUCCGUGCUACUAGCCGGAUUAUAUACGUGUGUGUGUGUGUGUGUGUGUGUGUGUGUGUGUGUGUGUGUGUGUGAAUUUGUCAACUAAUGAUGCAAGGAAUGGAAGCAUGCUCAAUUUUUUUUAUUAGAUAAAAAGAUAAUAGACUAUCUGCUUUAUUUCUUUAAAAAAAUAUAUACUUAUCUAGAAAUGUAAAAUAAUUAGAUUUUGGACUAAAAUUAUGAAUAUCAACCAUCCAAUCUUUACAGCCGCGAGCUCGUUUUGUUUAAAAUGUCAAAAUGUAAAGAACUCAUUUUAGUUUAGUAUGUCAAUAAAAACUUAGGCUAUGUUUGAAGGUUGGAAUAAGUCACCCAAUAAUAACUUAUUCGGUAUAAGUUUUUUAUUAAUGUAAUUGUAGAAAAAAAAUUUUAAUUUUUGCUUCUUAAAAAACUUUGAUAUUCAGGAUUUAGAUUCAGUUUGGUAUUUAGACGCACUACAACAUAAUUAGGUUAUGGGGACACAUGUUUGAGACACUUUUGAGUAAGUGUCCCAUUUAUACUAAAACUUAAAAAAAAACAUCUGCUAAUGCCUAAAUAUAAAGCCCAAUCCAACCAAAAAUAAAAAAUUACUCUACUCAAUCCACCACACCCAGUCCAUUUGGUCCGAUUACAAACAGAAAAGAAAAAAAAAAAGAAAAAUCAAUUACCAUCUUUUCUUCUCUCUUCACUCAAUCCACUGAAAUUCUAGACGAAGAGCCUUUCCUGUCGUCCUCCUCCGCCAUCGCAGCCAACAAGAUAGAGUUUUGGCGGUUGCUAAAUGCUUAAAUAAGUAUAGGUAAAUUAGCAGCACUCUUUUAGGUUAUAGCGACACUCUUUAACUGUCAUUAUAUACCUAGCGACCCCACAUAUAGCAACACUUUUUAAAAGUGUCGGUAAUUUUAGCAGUAUUUUUUUGACAUGUAUCUAUAUUUAAAAGUAUCGCUAUAGACCGUUUUUUUUGUAGUGACGCAUUCAAGACUAUUAGAUAAAAUGAAGUUGAGUUGGGAUAAAAUAUAUUAUAGCUAACUCAUCGCGAUAUCUGGUAUAGAAACAAACAAGGUAUUAAAUUUUUAAUUAAUUUUGAAAAUCAGUCAUCAAAUUUCUAACCAAUUAUGAACUCAUAUUGUUUAAAAUAUAUAAAAUAAAAUGUCAAUGAAAACUUUUUAGUGUUGGCAGCGGGAUUUGAACCCAAACCCCCUUCCCGGACCAAAAGCUUAAUCUGGCGCUUAAGACCAAUGUUGUGCCACUUGUGUUUCUAAUAUUUAUUUUAGUCUUUUUUCUUCUUUUUUUUUUGGAAGAUAAAUAGCACGCUAUCCAGUUCGUUUAUUUUAUUUAAAAAUAAAUUUAGCUGAAAAUAUGAAUCAACUAAGAUUCGAAUUUGGAUCUCGGGUAUCAACCACCAAACUUUUUGUCACUUACUUUAUAGACGGUCGGUUAUUUUAGUCAAAUUUGUUAAAAGAGAUUAUUAUGUAAAAAUUUAAUUUUCAGUGAACACCUGAUCAAUUUUUCAUUCAUUUGCUACCCCUUCGCCUCUAUACAGACAAUACCCUCGAUCCCAUGCUGAGCUAGAUAUCUACAAACUCCCUUAAUGCAGGUCACAAUCACAUCCCCAACAUUUAUUCCCCAAUAACAAGGCGCUUGCAUGUCCCCUCGCAAUCAAUCGCUCUCUCUUCACAUGCUACAGUUCCCAUGAAUAGGUGAGAGGUGAGAACUCACUCAUGAGUAGCAAAGGCAUGGAGCUAAAUCCAAAGCAGUGAUGCAGAAUAUGCAACGGUAACGAAGACCUGCACACUAUCAAUAAAUUCUGGCCAAGUUCACAAGAAAACCGGGAUCUUAUUUAUUGCCCAAACUACUUUUUCUUUGCUGCAGGUACUGGAGGGAGAGAAACAAACACAGUUUUCCAUUAAUGCUGGAGCUUGUCUUUAAAGUUUUGUAGCUAGGCAUUUUGAACAUGAACAUGGUCCAUCCUACAUGCAGAUUAAGCUCCUUAAAUUCAAGGGAGAGAGAUUCCCUACACCCACCACUCUCUCCCUCUCUAUGCUAUAUAUACAUGCCAUUGCCGUUUGGUGCCCAUAUAUUUUUCCUUCUCUCCAUCUCUCUAUUGAUACGUAUACAAUUGAAGAAGACGAGUGCUAAGAAUGAAAUGCUACUGCGAUGUUGGUUCGACUCACUCAGGACGUGCUACUGAUCUAAUGAGAGCGGUGUUCUGAUUGAGUCGUGCCAAUAUCUUAGUAUUCUUUCAUAUCAUGCUAUGGCCUUAAUUUCUCCCUUCUUGUAACUAACUACCAGAAAACUUCAGAGGUAUGUUUUGAUUCUUGUCUGAUGUUUCAUUAUUGUUUUUUUUUUUAAAAAAAAGAAGGUAGCAAGUUAUCAGUUUUAUUCAUUUAGUUUUAGAAUGAACUCAGCUACAAAUAUGAAAUAAUUUAGCUUUGAACUUGGAAUAUUGAAUACCAACCAUCAAAUUCUUAAUCAAUUGUGCUAGAUAUAUAUAUGGCCGAUUACUAUCCUAUUUAUUAGUACAUCAUUUGAAAAACUCAAGGCUUUCAGUGUUUCCCAUGCAUCCACAACAUACCAUUGUUUUACUACUACAAACAUAAUUGCAAGUCAACUACUGCAGCUCACUUGUACCUGGGAAAAUUUUACUACCUAGUCCAUUUGUCCUGGUUAUGUUUCUUCAAAAUUUUCGGUUUUUUUUUUUACUAGAAAAUAUUUAGUGAUCGAUUACACAAUUUUAAAUACAGAGCAUAAUUAAACUCAUAUUCUUAAUUUUCAAUAGAAUAUCACAAUGCUAGCGAUUCUUGUCGAAAUCUAUCCUUUACCUCGUCUUGUUUUGCUUUAAUCAUAAACAAUUGAAAGAUCCUGCUAAACUAAAGUUGACGGAGGUUCUCUUCCAGGCGUGAGCUCUCUUUUGUUUAUUAUAUUUUUUUUUCGAAUAAUUAAUAGCAAAUACCCUUUCAUUUCCCCCCAGAAGUAUACAUUGAUGGAUGAAAUGUAGAUCACCAUUUCCUAAUACAUUAUUCGAUGUGUCUCUAUGGGUUCACUGGAACCAAACAUUUUCAUGUAUGUGUAGUGUAGUGCAGGAAAAUGACUAUAUAUGAGGGUUGCUGAAGAGUAGUAACUGUACAUAAAUGAGAGCAGGUAAAAUUCAAUACAAUGAGCAUUGUCAGUGGCCGGGCAUUAACUUAUUGCACUCAGAUGCUCUUCUUUGUAUAGUCAGACAAAGAUUCCCUCGUUCUUUGCUCCAAUCGACCUACGUAUAGCAACAUUUAUACAACUAGAAUAUAAUUCACAGAUAAGAAAUUACGUUUUAAUGCAGUUAUGAUAUUAAAUAUUUCUACGAGGAUUGCGCGAAUAAGUUAUCUUCUUCCAGUAUUCAGGUGAUGUACCUUGGUUAUUUGAUUUUGGAAGGUGCAUCGAGAGUGAGGUAUAUAUCCAAGUGAAACAACUAUGACUCGGAGCUUGACCUUAUUCUUGUUCUCAAUUAGGUGUGAAAGGUAUUGCUCAAAGCACUUGGUGAUAGUAUAUAUGUAGCAACACUUGUUUAAUUCUUGCUUCAGCUUCAACGUUGUUGUAUCUAUGUAAUAACAGCCCUUCAUUUUAUUCGCUAAACAAAAUAGAAAUUAAUUUAAGUCACUCAUCUGCAAAGUUUAUUAGAUUGAACUACCACAAAGCAAAGGAAAGAGAAGCGCAAUGAUAGAACAUGCAAGAAAAGCAUCAUCUCGAGAACAAUAAGGUUUCAUUAAAUUAAAUAAAUUCAUUCACAUCUCAGAACAUUAUAAGACUUGAGAAAAAAACCGGUCGAAAAGCUUAAUACUUUCCGUACUUAGGCCAACACAGAAGCAUCACCAAACAUCUCCUAAAGAUGUAGAACCUCGACCUGUGCUCCUUCGCCACCGCGAGGCACCGCAUCUUAUCCGUCACCGAUCCCUCCGCCCGCUCCUCAACUCCUCCUCUCUUCCUCGACCCACACUGACCCAUCUCAAGCAAUCCUAAAUAUCACACAAAGAAAGGGUUUUUUUUUUUUUUUCCGUAGCCUAAGUGGCUUUGCAUUUUGCACGCUUGUCAUGGCCUGGCUCGGUUUGGUUUAUGCGGCUCCUUUCUCGUUAUAACUGUUCUCAGUUCAAAAUAAUUGACGGUCCUGAUCGCACCUGGAACCGAGGGGCUUCCACGGCUUGCCACGUGGACUAUUCUGAUCUGGUGGUGGAAAAAACCGUUUUGCAGUGGUUAGGCCGGUUUGCAUUUCUUUGACUCUAUAUACAUGCCUUUCACAUUUUAAAUUUACAAUUUAAAAUUACAAACCAUCUGAUUCUUUUUAAUAAAAAUAAAAAAUUCAAUAUAUAAAAUAAUUGGAAACAAGAGGACAAAGUUAAAAGGCUAAAGCGGACAUGGGGAGUUAAUGGGCCGUUGGGGCCCUGGGCCUGAUUUUCGGCCCAAGACCAGUAAUCAAUGCCCAAAUCAUAUCUAAACAUCUAAACCUUUACAUUAACUCUCCAAAGUUUUGGCUUAUCAUGUAACAUCCAGGUAUAAAAAGCUUAAUUAGACAAAAUAUCAAAUUUUGAAUACUACGAGCAAUAUAUUUGACAAUAAUCGCAUGAUCUAUUUAAACAGAGGGCCUCAAUUACUGCUCUUAAAUGAAAACAAAGAACUCAAAUUGUAUAUAAUGCAUGUAUACAAUUUUCGCUAGAAACUUUAGGGAGAAUACCUUUUUUGAACAAAAUGAAAACGAGCCUAACAAGAGCCAAGAGAUAUAUAAGAAAAUAGAAGCUAACAAGUACAAAUUCCUGGCAGUUAAACAGGGAGAGAGAUUUGAUUAGGGAGAACAAUUUCUCAUUCCUUAACAUUUAAAAUUUGUAAAAAAUAGUUUAUCAUCACAGAACGGAUAAUCGCAUGCGCAUGAACGCACUUGAGAUUAAUGACACCUUGUUACAAGAGCAUUACUGAGCUGCCACAAAUCUUGCAAUUUUCAAUCUAAGUAGUUCAGCAUAAUAGUCAUGUGAAGCUACAAGAUAAAACGGUAAAAAGGUUUGCACCUUUUGGUUUCUUAUACUUUACAGAUCAGUAGCCUACAUGUCCCCUAACCAUUUCUAGCAAUGGAAUUUUGAUUGAUUUGGAACAGAGAACAUAUGUACUUUUUAAUUUAUUAUCCUUGAAAAGUACCUAGAGCAAUUGUCUGAUAUAGAAACCCGUGUUUACGAAGAACUUAUUCCGAAGAUGGUGGUGCUGUUUAUUAAUCAGAAGAAAUGCUACAUAUGGUAAAAUCAUGUGAAUAGCUUCGUUUCUGCGGCAAAAACGAAAACUCUAAACUGAAGCUUUUGGUUUAGGCAUCGAAAAAACACUUCUAAUUUGUAAAUUCCGUUGCAGGAAGAGCAAUGCAAACGGUACCAAAAGAUACUACAAUCCGCGAAAAAGGAACAAAUUAAGCAUCCGUUGUUUAGCACGAUGCUUACAACAAAUGAGUCAGCUCUAGUCAUUAAUUCAAGCCCAUCUCUCAAUUCUCGCACCCAAAACAAGAGCUUCUUCAAGUUCUCCCCCACUGCGGCUUCUCUUCUUCUAGCUCCGAACUCCUAACUAAAGAGACCUCCCGCCGUAACCUGCAUUCCUGAAGAGAGCUUGCUUUAUCUCUUCAGAGCUGAUGAGCUCUGUUUGCUCCUUGUCCUAAUAACCACCAUAAGCAUUAACAAAAACAAAAGAAAUAAAUAAACAAACAGCUCCUGAAAUAGAGAGAUCGAUGUUGCAGCUAAUCUUACUUCCAAGCAAGAAGCUUGCAUCCCAAAAUCACUGAAGCAGCUCGCAACACACUGAUGGAUCUCCAAACCGAGAGCAUCCAGCGUGCUCACCAUCGAAAGCAACAACCCGGGCUUCGCCGCGCAGCAAACCUCUACGCGGGUGUCCCCCUCUCUCCUCUCGACAUCGAACUGCAUGCGACGGCCUUCACUCGAUCGUUACAGGAACAAAAGGAUUUACUAAACUGACGAUCGAUCGAGAGCAACACGGCCGGCAGAUUAAUUUAUUUACCUUGGUGGAGCUCCUCAUGAGCGUCGUCUCACUCGGAUUCAGCUGAUCCUUCAAGGCACCUAACUGAUUCGGCCGGUUCCGCGGAUCGGACUCGGCCUCGGCCUCCUCUUGCAGGGCUUUGAUCCGUGCCAUGAGCUCUUUGAUGUAAUCGAUUGUGUCUCCGAGGAUGGACGUUCUAUCCAUCUACAAAUUGAUAGGCCGGACGAGUAUGUGAGCAUAUAUAUAUAUAUAUAUAUAAGGCCACGUCCGAACAGGCACUUUUAGUCAUAUUAACAUUACCUUGCUGAUCUUGGGCACGACGGAUCGGAGCAUGGAGAGCCGAUCGUUGAGCCGCUUUCUCCGCCGCCUCUCCGCCAUCAGGUUCUUGGAAGGCAGGCCGUCCGCCUUCUUCGGCCUGGCGUUCUUUCUCUCGAGGCAAGAGCUGGCGGCGAGCAUCAGCGGCUCCGGCGUGCCGGCCGACUGCUUCUGCUCGGCCUUGCAGAUAUUCCGACCGCCUCCGGAGGCGCCGCCGCAGCUCAUCUCCUCGUGGAUGGCAGCAUGCGCCGCCGCCGCCGCCGCCGCCGCCGCCGCCGGCGGUGCCGACGAGCCGCACAGGCCGGCGGCAGCAAACGGGCUGCAGACUUCGCUGAGGCAAUCGAAGUUGGGCUCCGGCGCAAACUGCGGUCCGCCGAAGCAGUUCAGUCUGGCGGUCCCUUCNUCGAGACUCUUCCCUCUGCACCCUCUGCAUGGGCCGGCCUUACUCGCUCGAUGAGAAGACGUCGCUUCCCUGGCGGUCUGACUUGACGAAGCCGCCUGGCGUCAAACGCGGCCUCAAGAGCUCCUGUAAGAAGAAGCUUUCCUCGUCGAGCUCCAUUAUUUCCUCUAGACCACUCUCUCUCUCUCUCUCUCUCUCUCUUUAUCUCUCUAUUUCUCUAUUUCUCUUUUGCAGCUUCACACUUGUAACAGUACUGCCGAGGCAGAAACAAAGGGGAACUAUACCAAAGGAAUGAAUCGGGGAAUGAUAUACAGUGAAAUGGCACCAGAGGGAGAAUUAAUUGUAUAUAAAAAGGGCUUGUUAAGGAACAAUUAUUCCUUGUAAGGGAUGCAAAUAAAUUAAGAAUGCAUUAAGGUAUGUGCUGGACGCAUUAGAACCUACGCAGCCUAAGAUUGAGAUGGAAUCUCACCAAUUUUUUAAUCCCCCCUCUCUCUCUCCUUCUUCUUUUCCUUUUUUUAAUAUCUCUCUCUCUCUCUCUCUCUCUCUCUCUAUAUAUAUAUAUAUAUAUAUAUUUUGAAGUUUUGUCAAUGAUCUCAAAUCUUUUUCACCGAAAUCUGCAACCAAAAAGGCUGAGGUUAUUUAAUUCGCGAGUCCUGAAAGCUUUGACUCGCAGGUGUGCCGGAACAGAGUAAAGAUGCGAGAUGUAGGUGCUUAUUAUUAACCUAUAGAGUACUUACGUAAUAAAAUAAAAAAAAAUUACUUAGUCUACAACAAAUAUAAAAAAAGAAAGAAAAAGUUGUAAUUUCCAUAAUCAUUAUCAAAACCUUAACGGUAGGAUUUAUCAAUUCCUUUUUAAUUUUUAACAAAAAAAUAUGUGAUAAGGCAUGUAAAAAAAUAUAGACUCUUGGAUAAAGAAGUUGUAGAUCGAAUUGUAAGAAAUAAGUGGUAGAAUCACUGAUGAACUAUUCUUUAUAAGAGAUCAAUUCGGCAAGUGCAUUAAUUUGCAGUCCACUUCUAAGAUAAACGCAGCAAUAGUAAUUAUAGUAUUAAUUUCGGCCAAUGAAAACACUAAGCUCCAGUCUCAGAUAAACAAAAAAAAAAAUUCAAAAUUCUCGUAUGUAAAAAAUUGUUAGCUUAACCGACCGUUCCUAGCGCAAGUGGCAAAAGGAUUUGGUGGUUGGUAUUCAAGACCCAAGUUCAAAUUGUAAUUAAUUCAUAUUUUUCUGCUAAAUUUAUUUCUAAAUAAAAUAAACGAAGCAUGCAGCAUGCAUGCUAUCUUUCUCUCUCAAAAAAAAAAAAAAUUUGUUAGCUUACUUCCAUUUAGUACUUUCAAUUAAUAUCAGUAAUCAAGUUUUCUUAAAUAGUUCUUAAUUAAUUUGAUAAUCUGAAUUGAAAAGACAUGGGAACAAACAAGAUCAUGGCAACCAUUCUUUGCAUACGGCAUAUUCGCCAUAGAAUUUUUGUUCCCUAAUAGAGUGUUGUUGUUGCCUUUCUAGUUACUUGUUAAACAAGGUUAUUGUACAUACAUCCCUUUCCUUAACCAGUCAUGGUCAAAAUUAAUUAAGCGAGUUAUUAAGCUUGCAGAAUACUAUAAUUAUUCAUUGAUGUGACAAGCAAAUGCGAAUAAAAUUGGUGUGUUAAUUAUGUGCCAGGUAGCUUAACUAAGGCGUGUGUUGUUGUGUAAAGUGUAAACUGAUUUGAUUGAUCUUUCCUGAUGAUAAUAAGAAGCAAUCCUGGCCCUACAAUGUGGUAUCAAAAUGCAGAUGAUGUAGAUAUAUAUAGUCGACAAAAAGCUUUGCCCCACAAUAUAUUAUUUAUUUUAUUUAUGUUUAUUUUGUUACGUUGUUGCUGUCUAAACAGCAGGAUAUGAUAAUCUUUGCUCGAACGUACCUUCCAAGUUGAGGGUAUUAAUUAGGUGUCUCUUAAAUUCCAAAAUGCAAUCCAACAUGUCUAGUUGUAGUCAAAUGGAUUUUAAAAUACUAUAGUGAAAUUUAAAAUCCUUCUUUGUCUAUAAUCACCGAUUGUCUGCGAAAGUUAAUUGACCAAACUGAAUCACUGAAACAUCAACUUUUUUUUUUUUAAUACAUAUUUUACUUUAUUUAUAAAGUUUGAUGAAUAUAUUAUUGUUUGUCGCCCAUCCAUUAGUACGUGAACAUAAUACUAACUAACCAUCUCAUCCUUUUUAAAUUCAACAGUUCAACUUCUAAUACUGACCGUCCCUAAAGCAAGUAGCAAAGGACUUGGUAGUUGAUACUCGUGACCCAAGUUCGAAUCCUAAUUGAUUUACAUUUUCAGCUAAAUUUAUGUCUAAACCUAUCUCUAAAAAAAAAACAGUUCAAUUUAUAAUAAAUACUCAGAUGCAUUAUAGUUGU
Molecule: long non-coding RNA, 76779 nt
Filed under: Ananas comosus (pineapple)
Lineage: Eukaryota; Viridiplantae; Streptophyta; Magnoliopsida; Poales; Bromeliaceae
Source: RNAcentral